AAGGGGUGAAAAGAACAAAGUUUUGUCCAUCUUUGUUCAUCAUAGCUGAAAGUUAGAGAAGAGAAAGGAGAGGAGAAAGCUCUUGAGUAUUCGGUCAUUAGGAGGAGGAAAAUUGAAGGUAAGUUCUUGGUACCUUGCUUCUAUUUUGAGGUUCAUGAGUUCUUCUUGAUUCUACCUUAACUCUUGAAGUAUAUUUUGAUUUUUAGUUGUGUUGUGAGCAUUUAGUCAUGAAUUAAAAUGAAGGAAAUGGUUGUUGUUUCAUGUUCUUUUGAUGAAAAAUGGAAGAUAGGUGAAGUUGAGCCAAACAAAUGAGCAUGCAUGUGCCUUAGAUGUUAAAGGGAAAAAUCAGCUAACAUGUUGUGCUUUAAAAUGAUGAAAUGGAGAUUAUACUUAAGUAAAAUCAUAGAUAUGUGAUGAUUGAUUGGUGAUAUACAUGUUUAAAUAACAUGCAUGCAAGGUAUGUGUGAAAGAGUGAUUUGGUAAUAAAUCUGCUUGGGGCAGCAGCAGUAACGUGACUUUGGAAAAUCACCAUAAAUUGUGGGAGAUGAAUUAGAAGCUGAAUAAAUCAUGUAAUUAAAUUCUAUUGAGUCUAGUUUCAAAUGAAAUAAACGAGAACAUAUUUUGAAUUCUGUACAAUGAGAAAUUUGAUUCGUAAUGAAGAGUGGUCAGAUUAGUCAAAUAGUGAAACAUCCGAAACUUUGAGAAAAAUCUGGUAUUGAUUGGCAAAACAAAAAAUUCUGAAAAUUUUAUGGAUAUAAGAUAUAUGAGUCUAUUUUCAGGGAAAAUUAACGGCACUUGAUUUGGAGUUUCGUAGCUCCAGUUAUAAAUGAUUUAGUGACUGUUGCUCAGGAAGACAGCUUGCAGUGAAAUUAUGAUUAUGUGGUAAACAUUGACAAAAAUUUGUUAAUGAGUUGCUUAUUGAUUUCUUAUAAGCUUACUAUGAUUUGUAGGUGUGGUUGGCUGAAUAUUGUAAGGGGUUAAUACGUAGUUUGUAUUCGAAUAGUUAGAUUAACGUGUUAGUAAUCCAAUUGUAGGCGGUUCGUGUGUGGAUCUCGUCAGUAUAUCGUCGCAAACAGGUGUGUAACUAACACCCUCUUUCUUAGUCUAGAUCGGCAAAAGUCGAAAAGCCGAAAUGCCGAAAACCGGUAUUUUGUAGAUUUGCGAGUGUGCGAAUGCUCGCGAGGUAAAUCGAUUAAUGUUUUAGGUAAGUUGCAAUGUUUUGACUACAAAGUGCAUGAUUUCUGUGCCCUCGAUAUUUUUGGGCUUAAUGGGCCAAAAUUGGAAUGAUGGGCCAACGGGCCCAAUUCGGUAAGAACCCUCGGUACGUGAUUCUGUUAGUACGUGAAAAGUAGGAAUAUGCAUGAAAAACUCUAAAAUAGAUAAAUUACUGAAAUACCUUUAAAAGUGGAAAAUUUACAGUUUUACCCCUAGUAGAUAAAUUACCGAAAUACCCCUAGGGUUAAAUUGACCUAAAUGCAUGUUUGACUGUUGUUAUUUACUGCAUGCCAUGUUGUUAUUAUCUAAUGCAUGGGACUGGGAUAUUGAUGGAGGAAGUACUGAAAGUGGCUUGUCCACGUACUGGAGGCUUUGCCCUAAUUUACUGUUAACUGAGCAGCAAGGCUGCAACUGUGGAGUGUUGGGCUGGGUGGGUUGGGCUAUUCCCCACAUGGAGUGUAUGGCUGGUACGGGUGGAGUGUAGUGGUUGGUGGGUUGAGUAGUCUCCCCAAAUGGGCUUGCAUAUGUUUACUGAUGUUGCAUGUAUUUUGAAAUGGGCCUAUGGGCCAUACUGUUAUCUAAAUAAGGGGCUAAGGCCCAGUUUAUUGUAACCUGAAAAGGGCUCUGCCCCAGUACCACUGUUACCUGAAUGGGCUUAGGCCCAAUAGGCUUGAGCUGACUUGGGCUUUGAAUGGGUUUUCCUUACACACUGAGUUUCCCCAAACUCACCCCUUUUAUUUUCAUCCACGCAGGAAAUCCCCAACCAUAGUGGGCUUGGAGCUGUGAGGAAAUUCGGAUUGGCCACCCGUUCUGAAAGUUUGGUUUUCUUCUGGUGAACUGGACAUCCUUUUAUUUACGUUUGAAGUUUUGGGUUUUUAAAUGUAAUAAGGCCGCUUAAUUAUUUUUAAUGGUUUUAAUAUGUAUUACUAAGAUAGGUAUUACUUAUUUUAACUGUUGAAAUUGGAUAGCUUUAGGGCGCGUUUUCAAAAACAACAGUUGAUUUCAAAAUAACACGACAACAAGCAAAGCUUCCGCAAUGAAAGUAUUUUCCAAAAUUAAUCACUUUUCCUAAAAAUGACUUAAUCAAAUCAGUUUCCUAGAAAUAUCCAUGAUGUUAAGGUGUGGCAAUGGCGGUAUGCAUGUCUAGGAUUGGAUCCGAAGGGAGCUUGGUAUUUAAGCAGUCCGAUGGACUCACCACCUCUUUUCCGGUUUCCUACCUAGUGCACAGCUUCCAUUCACUUUAACCUAUAAUGAAAUUAUCUUUUAAAACACUAAGUAGGUUUUUUUCUGGAUCAACAAUAUAAAAUGUUUUGAACGCUUCGAUGUGGCAUGUCGGAUCCGGCCAUAACGUCUGGGCCGGGUUUGGGGUGCUACAAAAUUUCUAGAAAAUGAAUGAAAAAAAUAAAAUUACAUAGUUUUUUGCCACAAGGCAUUUCUUGGGUCUUCAAUUGCCAUCGCUCCAUCUUCUCCUUGUCAUGUACUCCUUUUGAUUAAUUACAUUUAAAUCCAUGUUCGUUUCUAGCUCACAAGAAUUCUAUGAAUUUUAAAAAAUAGUCCUAUGUCUAUUUCCUAAGAAUCACAACCUUGACAAUAAAAAAUAAUUAUAUAACAAAUAUAUAAUAUCGCACCCAUUCCCAUAUAUAACUCAAAACAUGCAUAAGAUCUAAAGAACUUCACUUUCUAUGUAAUCAAGUCAUUCAAGAAGAAGAGAAAUGUAACAGCCCGAUUUAGACCCUAAUCGAAACGGUAGUUUCGAGACCACGAAUCCGAGUUAGAAAAAUAUUUUAAUAUUAUUUUCCAUGCUUAUAAUAUGUGAAUUGAUAUCUGUGAAAGUUUCGUGUGGAAAUUUUAUUAUUUGUGUGCUUAAUUUGAAAAAAAUGACUUAAUCGCGUAAAAUGUAAAAGUGGCUAGCCAUUUGUUAAAAGUGCCUAUUUGCUUUUAUUAAAUAAAUUUAAGAUCCUUAUGAUGAAAUUGAACCAUUAUAAAGUUAGUGGAAUUAAUGGUUUGGCAAAGUUCUUAAAUGGAUUAUUUUUAAAGGUUAGUUUUGUAAAUUAGUAAAAUAAGUUAAUAAAAUAAAUCAAAUGCAUGAAAAUAAAGCCAUUAUCACCUUUGUUUUUGCCGAAAAUCAAAAGAAAGGAAAAGAUGAAAGCUUGUUGAACAUUCGGCUAUGGUUAGCUUGAGUUGGUAAGUGAAUUUUGUUCGGUUUUUGAUAAUUUCUAUGUUUUUGUGAUCGUUGCUUCGAAUACUAGUAAACCCAUGCUUCAAUUUUCGAAUUUGAUGAUGAAUUGGAGAAUUGCUAUUAAUGAUAGCUUGAUGUUUUUGUUGUUUGAUGAUGAAAAAUGAAUAUUUGUUGAUAGAUUAUUAUGUUUAAUUAAGUGGUUUUUGAUAAAAAUCCAAAUUUGGGAUUAAAUUGUGGAUUUUGUAAAUUAAGCGGUCAAAAUGUGAAAUAAAUGAAAGAAAUGGGCUGUUAUGAACCUUAGAAGCCUUAGAAAAAUUCAACUAUACUAGAGUUUAGUGAAAGUAUGUGUAUUUUGUGUUUUGUGAAAUAGGGACUAAAUUGCGAAAAAUGUGAAAUGUUAGGGGCAAAAUUGUAAUUAGCCUAUUUAUGUGUUUUUGGAUGAAUUUGAUUGAAUAUAUGAUUAAAUAAGUUGAAUUUGUAUUGAAUUAGAUCAAGAAAUGUAGAAAUCGGAUUUGGACCGGGGAAAAACCAAAGUUGUCGACUAGUUGUCUCAUCCUAAUUACCGUUGUCUGAGGUAAGUUUACAAGCAAAUAAACAUACUUAAUUUUAAUUAAUACAAAGUAUAUAUGCUGAAAUGAAAUAUAUGAAUUAAUAUAUGCUAAUGCUGAAUGUGUAUAAGCAUGGUAACUAUGUUCAUGCAUUCGUUUCGACUGAGCUAUAACAUUUGAAAGUCCGUAUAAACUAUAUGGAAUAUUUGGAAUUUUUGAUAUAUGAAUUGUUUACGAGACAACUUUAUAAUAGUGAUAUUCGGGCUUUGAGACUAGCAAGCCUUGUGCUGGUGAAUUAAAUCGGGCUUAUGCCUAGCAGGCUUAUUGUCAGUGUAUAAAAUCAGACUUUGAGUUUAGCAGGCCUUGUGCCGGUGUGAGAUUCAGGCUUAGGCCUAGCAGGCUUUAUGCCAGUGAAUUAUUAUAAGUUUAUGCCUAAAAGACUUUAUGCUGAUGUGGUAAUUGAAUACGUUAAACGAGCUAAAUGAUUAGGUAUGAGUUAGCUUUUUGUUUACUUGAAAAUAAGGUAAGCUGAUUAUUUGAUAUGUGAUACAAACAUAUGUAUGAUGUUAGUCUGAAAUUUGUGAGUAAUUGUGAAAUAUAUUCAGCCAAAGUUAAGCAUAAUUAUGUGGUAUAAAGGUUUGAGACAUGAUUAUAUGAAAACAAGUGUUUAAAGAUUCGACUUUAUGCAUUAAUAAUAUGAUUUUCAUAGUGUAUGACAUUUUGGUAUAGAUACAUGUAUAUUCGGCUACACGAUAAGUGUAAUUAUGAGAUAUUAAAGUUUGAUUCAAGAAUAUAUGUUUGUGGGUGUGUAUAUUCGAUUAUAUAAUGGUAUUAUGGUUUUGAAAUUGAAUGUUACAUUGAUAAUAGUUAUAGUACAUUCGUUCAAAGGUUACGUAUAGUGAUAUCAUAUUGUGGCCUAUGUGCAAAUUUAUAUAAAUGAUUAUAUAUUGCCUAAAUGAUAUAAAGAAAGAAUAAUGAUAAGUGAUUCAUGAAUAUAUGUAUAUGAUUUUAUAUAUUUAUUCAGUUAAUUAUUGAUAAUGUGGCUUUGAAAUUUGAAUGAUAUAUAUAUUAAUAUUAGUUGUAUGGAUAUUUGGUAAAAGUGAAAGUAUAUGUAUUAUAUGAAAUUAUAAGUUUGAAGUUAAAUGUGAUUAUGAUAGUAUAAAUUGGUUUGGUAAUUAAAUCGAUAUUGACAAUGAGUUAUUUAUUUGCUUAUAGCUUACUAAGCUCUCAAAGCUUAUUCUGUGUGUUUUUCCUAUGUUUAUAGAUUUUCAGAGAUCUGCUCGAGUUGUAAGUCAGUGGAGAUGACAUCACACUAUACGGUUAUCAUUUCAGUAAAUAAUAUUUUAAGGCUCGGUUAUGUGGCAUGUAUAGGCUAGUCUUGAAGUUAAUUGUUUUGAAUGAGUAUGUAUUAAAGCCAUGCGAAAGUGGCUUAACUACCUUGCUUGAAAUCAGUUACGUUAAAUUAUGGUUUGUGUUCAUUUUAGUUAUAAUAUUAGGUGCUAUGGUUGAAUAAUAUUUGUGAUAUGCUUUUUUGUGCAUUGAAGUUGAUUGGUGAGCUGGAUGUGGUUUGAAUGAUUCGACCAUGGUAUAUAGGUAAGUAUGAAGUAUAUUUGUUAUGUUACUUUUGGUUGAAAUGCUUCGGUUAUGACUUGUAAUGAUAGUAAUAACCUCAUUUAGUUGACUAAUACAUUCAGUUAAAUGAUAGUAAGAGAUAUUGACUAUAAUUGACUAUUAGUUCGGCACAUAUAUAUAUAUAUUCAUGUGAAUUACGGUAGUUUAUAUGAUAAGGGAUGUGUUAAUAUUUGGUCUUGGACUUAUGUUAAAAAUAUAUCCAAGGUAUUAUAAUGUUUAUGAAGUUGUUUAUGUGUUUCAGCUACAUGAUAUAUAAUGAUUGUUAAAUGAGCUAAGUAUAUCACCUACUAGUUAGGUGACAAUUAAGAUACAUGCAUAGGGUAUAUUCAGUGUUCCCUUAUGGUUCAGAAUAAUGAUAUAUAUAAUUCAUGAAUUGUUUAUUAUGGUAAAAGAUAUGUGCUAAUUUAAUCAGAAAUGCUUUGUUAGUUGAAUUUAUAAAUGUAUAUGUAUAAAUGCACUUAUACUAUGGUUGGUAUAUGUGUAAAAUCGAAUAAUACUUGUCCUUAUGAUUCAGUUUGUUUUGGAAAUGCAUAUGCAUAUAUCAUGCUUAUAUGAUUUGUAAAAUAGGUACAAUUGAUGAAGGUAAAUAUUGAGUAUGUGUUAGGAAUGUAUUGAUAGUAAAAUGGUUAAUUAAUAAGUAACAUAUAUAUGUAUAUAUCUGUAUGCGGAUAUGCAUUUGGUAAACUUCUAACUUAAGCUGAAUGAUGGAAUUGAUAUUACUUAAAUGUUUAGUGAAAUAUUAUUGAUUAUUUAUGAAAUUGAUAAUGCCUUGUAAUAUGACUUAAUUGGUUAAUCCUUUGCAUGUAUAGAAUUAAGAAAUAAAAUCUUUAAUUUUUAUUUUAGUAUUCACUUAUCAUUAAAGUGAUUAACCUGUGAUUUAUAUAUGUAAUAUGCUUAUAUUUAAUUAAUUAUAUGCUCUACAUAUCUAUAAGAGUAUGACUUGUGAUAAUAUGAGAAAGUUCAGAAUUGUGCUUAUGUUCAGUAAUGCCUUGUGACCCUAGUCCGGCGACAGAUACGGGUUAAGGGUGUUACAAGAAAUAUAUUUUGAUUAUUUUUUAUACUUAUAGAUACAGCUCAACCUGACUCUGAUACUAAUUGUUGGAAAAUCGAGUUUAGAAAACGCAACGGAAAAUAAAUUUAAGGAAAAACCAGAGUUUUAAUUUUUUUUUCACAACAAGAACUUAGUUGUGAUAUCUAAAGUAAUAAACACUUAAUCAAAACUAUACAUUUUCGAUUUGUCUAGGAUGAACACUUCGAUCGAGAAAUCUUCUCCAUUAUCCUCAAGCUCACAUCUACCAAGUGUGGGCUUGUAACAACCCAAACCUGGCUUAGAUAUUAUGGCCGAAUCCAAGAGUGUCACGAAAAAGGGUUUGAAACCGAUGAUACUUCAACAAAACGUCCAAGUUUAAUAAAACAUAUUCAUUUAUAUAUUUAUUAAUGACCGUUACAUGUUAUCCUUUAAGCUUAACCAAAUCAUUUCACAGCGGAAGUUUGAAAACCCGUUUAAAUCAAAACCAUAACAUUUGUUUGCAUAAAAUCGAUAAUUUGUCGAAUCGUCACAGUGUAGAAAUUAUAAUGCAACCAAACCAAAAAAUUAAACUAAACAGUCCAAAAAGACCAGAGAGUCCAAAAAUUACAAAACUCUCGCAAAAACCGGAAUUUCAGUAAAAACCAUUAAAUUAUAAUAAUGAAAACAAUUUUUCGUCAAGCGGUCACCGUUGAGCCUCCGUCGCACUGACCCGCCUAUGUCUGUAAAUUACUUGAACAACACAGGUGAAACAGAUGUGAUUUUUCGUAAACUGAGUGUGUAACCCAACAGAAAUAUUCAUGCAACAUACACAGUAUUUGAUAUACAAUCAUAUACAGAUUCGGACCUAAGCCUAUAAUAGAUACAAAUAUUAGAGUCAGAUUAACAGAACAUAUAUACCGAAUCCUACCCCCAUCAGAUUAACAGAACAUAUAUACUGAAUCCUACCCUCAUCCUCUACACACCAUCUCUAACCAUUCCAUCACACCAUGUGGGGUUAAAAACACCCACCCAUCCCUAUACACCAUAUAGUGUUGAUGCGAUACAUAAUAGAUAAUAUGCAGUCAAGUUGCCAGAAUAUAGACGAAAGGUCGCCAUACAGAUCACUUCCUCCACAUAUACAAAUCCCACCCCAAACACAGAUACAGAAUAAAGAUGCCAAAAUAACAUAAUAAACAUGCUUAACAUGCUCGUAUAUAGAUAAAUACAUACUUAAUAAUACAACUAGACAUACAUAUCAAUUUCCUACUCAAAUCAGUCUAUCAGAGUAUCAGAUCACAUGAAAUAAUGUUUGGUUAGCCCUUACCGACCCUACGGUAGGCCCACAAUUGAUCGGAAUGACUCGUCUGACCCUAGAGAAAAUUUCAAAAUUCUGGGGCUAUAUGCUUAUAUGGCCCACACGCUUAGAAUUGCCUUGCCUAUGUGGCCCACACGGCCUGACCCAAACCCACACGCCCGUAUGGGCCAUACGACCACACCUUCACCAGCCACAUGACCGUGUCUCGCACAUGGCCAGCCACACGGUCGGGCACACGGCCAUAUGGCAUUGAUAGUGCCCAAAUAUUUCUCCCAGUUGAUUCAAACUGUAAAACACAACAUCGGAACAUAUCUUCGAGAAUCUGAAUUACUCUCUCAGACUGACCGUCGGUUUGUGGAUGAAAUGCAGUACUAAAUUUCAACUUCAUACCCAGGGCUUCUUGCAAUUUCUUACAAAAUCUCCACGUGAACCUCGUAUCUCUAUCCGAAAUAAUCGAAACUGACACUCUGUGCAAUCUAACAAUAUCAGAGAUGUACAAUUCAACCAAUUUAUCAAGUGAAUAAUCAGUACGUACUAGUAUAAAAUGUGCCAAUGUCAUUAAUCUAUCAACUACAACCCAAACAACAUCUUUCAUUUUCGAAGUCAGGGGUAACCCCAAUACGAAAUCUAUCGUAACUCUAUCCUAUUUCCACUCUGGUAUUAUCACUGUCUGUAGUAAUCCCAAAGGCACUUGAUGCUUGGCUUUCACUUGCUGACAAAUCAAACACCUUAAAACAAAUUCUGAAAUAUCUCGUUUCAUGCCCGACCACCAAUAUAACUAUUUCAAAUCAUUGUACAUUUUGGUACUCUCUCGGUGAACAGAUAAACAACCAAAAUGCGCUUCGUGCAAAAUUUUCUGAAUAAGCUCAUAAUUCUUUGUACAAAGAUUUUAUUUUGGAACAUUAAACAAUCAUCAGCUUUGAUCUGAUAAUCUGAAUCACUAUUCGACUUACACUGCAUUCUUUUAGCUUGCAACUUAGUAUUGCACUUUUGAGCUUCACAAAUUUGCUGAAGAAAAACAGGUUUGGCUUUCAACUUAGCUAAUAUCAAACCAUCAAAGACAUAGUCAAUCUCGUAUUCAUCGCUCUCAAAGAAAAUAGAGAUUUUUUACUUAAAGCAUCUGCGGCUACAUUUGCUUUUCCCGGAUGAUAAUUGAUUACUAACUCAUAGUCUUUUAGUAGCUCGAGCCAUCUCCGUUGUUGCAAAUUCAAAUAUUUCUGAGUCAUUAAGUACUUCAAGCUCUUGUGAUUAUUAAAGAUGCCACACUUCUCACCAAAUAGAUGAUGUCGCCAAAUUUUCAAUGAAAAAAAUAUAGCGGCCAACUCUAAAUCGUAUGUCGGAUAAUUCUUUUCAUGCAGCUUCAACUGUCUGGAGGCAUAAGCUAUCACUUUUCCUUCUUACAUUAACAUGUAACCCAAACCGUUCAAUGACGCGUCGCUAUAAAUCAUAAACUCUUUACCUGACUCAGGUUGAACCAAUAUUGGUGCUUCGGUUAAUAAGGCUUUCAAUUAAUCAAAACCCUAUUGACACUUCUCGGACCACUCAAUCUUCACAUCUUUCUGUAAUAGUCUGGUCAUUGAUGUAGCAAUCAUCAAGAAUCCUUUGACAAAAUGUCGAUAGUAACUGGCUAACCCUAGAAAACUUCUGACUUUGAAUAUAUUUCUAAGUGGUUUCCAAUGAACAACUGCAAAAAUCUUGCUCGGGUCAACUCAUAUACCUUCAACUGAAACAAUAUGCCCUAAAAAUUUGACUUCUCUAAACCAAAACUCACAUUUACUGAAUUUAGCAUACAGUUGCUUAUCUCUCAAGGUUUGUAACACAAUCCUCAAAUGCUCAGCAUGUUCAGACUCGUCUAGUGAAUAGAUCAGAAUGUUAUCAAUGAACAUAACAAUAAAUCUGUCUAAAUACUGUCUAAAGAUCCGAUUUAGUCCUUUUUACCGAAUUAAGAAUUCAAUGAUAAAAUUAUUCACGAAACUUUCACAUAUACAUGCUAUCAUCCUGUAAACAUUUAAAAUAAUAUUAAAAUAAUUUUUUGAUCUCAGAUUUGUGGUUUUGAAAUCACUAUUCUGAUUUAGCUAAAAACGGCCUGUUACAACAUCAGUUGACUGUCAGUCAAACACCGGCUAACAAAGUAACCUAUGUGGCAUGCUGACGUGUCAAAAAUAAAAAAAAUUAAAUAUGAAAUUUUAAAAAAUAAUUUUAACCCUAAAAUUAAAACCUAUCAUUAAAACCCCUAAUCUCUUAUUCCCAAAUCAUGAAAUACCUAAAACUUAUCAUCGAUGAUGAGUUUCCAACAGCUAAAAACACAAGAAGAGUGGUAGCACAAUGAGACAAUGCUAGAACAAGAACAAGACUAGCGAUAGCCAUUUUCUCCAUAGGUUGAUUAUGAGAAUGACUGUGCCCACCCUUUCUAGACAAAAAUAACAGUAUAUAGCUAUGGAAACACGAAAAUAUAUACACUUUUUCAUGCCCUUUUUAACUCAAAUUCAAGCAAUUUCGUAGUAAUUCUUGUCUAUAAAUAUAUAAUAAUUAUAUAAUAAUUAUAAAAUAAUUAAAAUGUACUUAAAUUAUUAACAUGUUGAAUUUUAAUUAAUUUUAUAAUAAAUUUUGAUUUAUUUUCGACAAAUUCGCACAAACGGUGAAAAUUGGCUUAGCAAAUACUGCUAGAAGCGCAAAACUGAGAAACAAUUUUUGAAGCAUCGAGGCAAAUUAAUUUUUCAGCCUAAGACAGUCCAAAUUAUGAAUAUUAAUUCAUAAUAUAAUUAAUUUAAUUUUAAUCUAAUUUAUUUUGGGUUAAAUAAUUAUUAGUAAUUAAUUAUGAAAAGAGGUCCAAUUGUGCUAAACUGAGAGAUUGAUCCAAUUGAGCAACUAGGCUGCCCAAAACCAUCCCAUAUGCUGACCCAAUCAACUUAUUUAUUUGAUUAUUUGGCUUUCAAAACUGCCCUUGAUGUUUCCUUGAAAUUGCAUUCAAACGCCUCCACCUAACAAGCUUUUGUAGAUUUGCCCCUAGCUAAAUUUAGCAAGUUUGAAAGCUUCAAACUUGCCACAUGUGUGGCUGGCCAUGGGGGGUUUCUAUGGUUGCUGAUUUUUGAUAUUUUUAAAAGCCUAUCCAACCUAUAAAUACCCCCUUGGCUGCUCAUUUCAAACACACCUCUCAUUCUUUCAUUCUUCACUUCUCUCUCACUUUCUCUUUUCAAAAUCCCUUCCUUUGUUCUUCUUUUUCCCUUCCAUUCCCUUCUUGAUUUCCCCUCUUGAAAAAGAGCCUUUCAACCACCUUUGGAAGCAGCAUUCAAGUGCUCGUAGAAGCCUCGAUUCAAUAAAAGCAAGCGGAGAAGGAGGAGCAGAGCAAACUAGUCAAACUUCGGAGAAACACCGGAUUUGAUUCUAGUUCCCUAUCCUAUAAUUUUUAUUGUUGUUGUUAUGAACAUGUAUAUGAAUACUUGUGAUGUUAAUAUGCUUAAUUUAAUUAAUAUGGCUUAAAUUUAAUUCGUGUUAGGUUGAUUGCAUUUCGUCCACUUAAGUUAUUAAAAAUUGUGUUUGUGUUGUUAUGGGCCUUGAUAAGUUGUUUGAUUAAGUAAAAUCAUGAUUAAGUUAUUCUUGCAUUAUAAUUGUAAGGUAACUAAUGAAUUAAUUAUUUAAUCGUGCUGAAAUUAUAAUUAAUUAACACAAUACUUAAUCAAUACAUGUUUAAUCUUCUAAGGUAGCUGAGGGUUAAAUUAGCGAUGGUAUUAGACGAUACAUUAGCAUUGGAUAACUUGCAAGAUUAUUGUGAUUAAACUGUUUAAAGGUAGGAAUACAUUGUUACCUCACUUUACAUUUUAUGUGUUUAUGAAGAUUGAUUAAUUGUUUGAAUUGGCAUUGGAAAGUGUUCAAGAGAUUAGUUAGCAAAUUACCGAGUUACCGUGAAUUUAUUCGUAACAACAUUAACAUGCGUUUAGUAAUUCUAAGUUAAGAAAUGUAAUUAAUCUAACACAAUUUUGUCAUCUUCAUUAAAAUCAUCUUUUAAAAUCGUGAAUUUUUAUUUUAUUUUAUUUUACUUAGUUAAAUUUUAGUUUUUAAUCACUUCCUCAAAAUCAAAAUAUUUUUCUUCACCAAAGUGUUUUAAUUGCAUUCAUAAAUAAAUUCUUUUCACAUUCCCUAUGGGUAUGAUAACUCGACAUUUACUAGUCACUUUAUUACUUGUUGUGAUUGUGUACACUUGCACAUUUCUGUCGUUCCAAGCUACCACCAAGAACUCUAAGCAAAAGUGAAGCAAGUUUAUACACUGUUUCUUCUCCAUUUCUAUGUCCGUAUGACAAUGGAGAAAGGAAGCCAAUGGGUGGGAAUGAAGGAAUGAAGAAGGGAAAUGGUUGCUAUGCCCCCUAUUGUUGAUAGAUCUUUGGCGUUGAAACUCUCUAUUUUUGCCUUUUUGUUCAAAGUGGAAAGGAGAUUGAUUCUGUGUGUUAUUUGUAUUCAAAAUAACUACUUUUUCUACUCUCUUUUUUUAUUUUUUUUUCUUUGAUGGAGAGCAAUGGUGAAAGAAUAAAUUUGGUUGGUGUCUAUUGAAGCUUUGGAAAAGAACAAAAAUUAUAAUACAUUUACCAAUUUCAUGGUAAGUGUUUUAGGGAUUUCAAGAUUUGAGAAUACGGGAUUAAGGAUUUUAAUGAUAGGUUUUAAUUUUAGGGUUAAAUUUAUUUUUAUAAACUAUUUAUUUCUUUUUAAUCUCAUAUUAAUUCUUUAUUUUUGACAUGUUAGCACGCAACAUAGGCUAUUUCAUUGAUCGAUGCUUGAUUGACAGUUAACUGACGUUUUCCGUUAAAUUUAGGUUGAUUUGUGAAAAAAUUGCAACGUUAAGGACAUCAAUCCAAAAAAAAAAAUCAAGGGCACAAAACCAAAAACCAUAAAUGUUGAGGGUUUUUUCAACAAUUAUGUCUUUAAAAUAUUACAUAGAAUUUUUUUCUUCCUUCUUUGGAAUCUUUGUAGGCACUAAUUCUUCUUUAGGCUUAAGGGUGCAAAAAGCCCUCAAAUUUUUUCAAAAAAAAUCAAUUAAGCCCCUACUUUUUUUACACUUAUUUGGGUACUUAAACUUUCAAAAUGCAUCAAAAAGACCAUUAAAUUUUUUCAAAAAAAAAGAAAUUAAGCCCCUGCUUUUAUUAAAAUUAUAAAAAAAUUAAAAUCAAUAAAAGCUAUAAAUAUUAUUAAAUUUUAAUAAAAAAUUCAAAUAUUAAAAAUUAGAAAAAAAAAUAUAAAAAUCGUAAAAAAUAUAAAAUUUUAUAAAAUUUUAUAAAAAUUGUAAAAAUUUAUAAAAUAUAUAGAAAUAUAAAAUAAUUAUAAAAUUUUAUAAAUUCGUAAGAAAAUUAUAAAAAAAUUUAAAGAAAUAUAAAUUUCUUAAAAAAAUUAUAAAAAUUAUUGUACCAAAAGAAGCAUUUUAUAAUUUUUCUAUAACUUUUAUUGAUUUUAUUUUUUUUAUCAUUUUUCGCUGUAUAUCACGCUAUGUUAAUACACGUGAUGACUUUAAUUGGAAAAAAACUAGGGUCAUUAAUUUUUUUUUAUGAUUUUUGUAAAAUUUUACAUUUUUUAUUUUUUUACUACUUUCAUAAAAAAUUUUAUAAUUUCCAAUAAAUUUUAAAUUUUUAUUAAAAUUUAAUAAUUUUUCUAAAAUUUAUUAUUAUUUUUAUUUUUUAUAAUAUUUUCUAAUUUUUAAUAAAAGGAGGGGCUUAAUUGUUUUUUUGAAAAAUUUUAAGGGUCUUUUUUAUGCAUUUUAAAAGUUUAAGUAUCCAACUGAGUUAAAAAAAAGAAGCAAGGGCUUAAUUGCUUUUUUUGAAGAAGUUUAAGUGUCUUUUUUAUGCAUUUUGAAAAUUCAAGUGCUCAAUUGAGUGCAAAAGGAAAAAUGAGACCUCUUUUUUUAUUAUUGUUACGUUGCCUAUGCAUGUUUUUAUGUAUUUUAUUAUUAUUAUUAUUAUUGUUGUUGUUGUUAUUGUGUAUGUUCAAUUUUAUUUGAUAUUAUAUAUUUUUACAGCAUUUUUAAUUAAUUAAUCUUUAAAUGUAUUAGAUAACCAUUCUUGAUCUAAUUUCUUUCAAGAAUAAUUUCUGACUUACUAUUAAAAAAAUUUUAAAUUGUAUGUAAUUUUUCACAUAUAAAAACACAUAAGAAUACGAAAUAAAUUAAACCUUUUUCGAAUGUUGAUGCCCUGAUUGAUUCAUAGCAAAGCAGCACGUAGAAGGAAGAUGAAAUAAAAAUGCUAAAUGAUUUUAAACAUUUAAUGUAGUUUUUUUAAUGUUAAUGUUAGAAAAUAUCAUACACCUAAUAUUAUUUUUCUUCCAUUUUUCUUUUAAAACAUUUAAUGUAAUAUAACUAAUUGCUCUAAUUGAUUGCAAUAGAUAUAAAAAAUAUAAGGGUAAUCUACAAAAAUAGUCACUUUUGUUUGCCUCAGGUUACAUUUUAGUCACUUAUGUUUGAAAUGUUACGUUUUAGUCACUUAUGUUACUAUUUUGUUACGAAAUGAUCACUCUACCAUUAAGUUCCGUUAUCUCUCUAACGGUAAUCCUACGUGACAGUCUAACUAGAUUUUAGAUGCCAACUUGGAUUUCUAAAUGGGAUAAAAAUAUAUUUUUAAUUAAAAAAUUUAAUUAAUUAAAUUUUUUAAACCUAAACCUUAACUAAAAAAUCUGUUCAUCUCCUCUUUUUUAUUUUUCUUCAGUCUCUUCUUUUUUUUCAAUGGUUUUUUUUUCAUUUGAUUGGAAAAACUAUUAUUAAGAUCAAAAUAGUUGAAAUCAAAUUGACUACUUCAUAAAGAUGGAUUCAAUGGAGGGUUCAGGUAUGUCUUCUUUGCAUUCCUUUAUCUCUUUUAUUCAAUACUGAAAAACAAAAGAUUGGAUUUUUUAUUGUUUAAUGAAAACCCUAAAUUAAAAUUCUUGAUAUGAAUAUUAACAACUAAAAGAAUUUCAAAUCAGAAAAAAUUGAUACCCACAAAGGGAUUGUGAACAAACAAGCCGAUUCAGAUAAAAAAAAUCGGAUUGAGAAACUAAUUAUUCAAGAACAUGAAGAAUUGAAAAAUACAAUGAUUAGGAACAAAAAUGAUUACCAUCUUCUUAUUUGUCGACAACCACUUCAUUUUAAGUUUUAGAACAUAAAUUUGUCGGUGAAGAAGACAUACUUGGACCCUCCAUUGAAUCCUCUUUUGUUUUCGUACAUGAAUAAAUUUUUUUGAUGAUAAUAGCUUUUUUAGUCAAUUAAAAAAGAAAACUAAAAAAAGGGGGAGAUGAACGGUUUUUUAACUAAGAUUUAGGGUUUAAAAUUUUAAUUAAUUAAAUUUAUUUAAUAAAAAUCUAUUCUCAUCCCAUUAGGAAAUCCAAGUUGGCACUUAAAAUCUAGUUGGACUGCCAGGUAGGAUUACUGUUAGGGAGAUAAAGGAACUUAGCAGAAGAGUGAUCAUUUCGUAACAAAAUAAUAACAUAAGUGACUAAAACGUAACAUUUCAAACAUAAGUGACUAAAAUGUAACCUGAAACAAACAAAAGUGACUAUUUUUAUAGUUUACCCAAAAUAUAAUACAUUAACUUCCCUUAGUUUGAAAAUAUAUAUUUUUAAAUGCAAAUUUUAUUUAAACAUAUUAUUAAAAAUAUAUAGUAAUUGCACCAAGAAUAAUAUAGUAAUUAAAACUUAAAUAAUUUAAUAUUAUUCAUUUAAUUUAUAAAAUUAUAAAUAAUUUAAUAUACAUGGAAAUUAGCUCAAAAUAAUAAUAAAAAUAUUUAAAAUCAUUAUUUAAAAAUUAAAUUAAACCAUAAUCAAUUUAAUAAAUCAAAACACUUUGAUAUACAUAGAUUAAGCAACAUAUUAAAAAUAAAAAAUGGAUGGUGAUAAUGGAUUAAAUUAGGAUAAUUGUUACACAUAUUUAUUUAAAGAAAAAUAUAUAUAAUACUGUGUUUUAAAAUUUUUAAUCAUAUUAUUUGUAAAAUGUCAAAUUUUUAAAAAAAUAAUUAUAAAUAAUUUAAUUAAUACAUGUAACAUACAAUAUGAAAAAACUAGUAUUAAUUAUUAGACUUAAUUUAAAACAAAUAUCAAAAUAUUUCAUAUAAUUACUUCAAUAUUUUAUAUUUAUUUGUUUAUAUUUUUAAGUGAUUUACUCUUAAUAUGUAUGUUCAACUAUUUAAUAAAUUUAUUUAAUUUAACAAUUUAAUAUAUUUACUCUUUAAUUUUAUUUCCAUAUAUUACAGUUUUUUUCCCUUAACCUAUGUUUCUAGUUUUUCAAAACUUUCAUAGUAUUAUAAGUUGAAAACAUUAUUUUUUUUUAUUUUAUAUGAGUUACCACCAUUAAUUUUUUGUAUUACCGAAAUUUUUUUUCACAUUUUUAAUAGGACAAAAAUCAAAUUUAUAAAUUAACUUUGGUCCAAUGUGCAAUUUGAUACAUAAACUUUGAUUUGGUGCAAUUAUACAAAUGAAACUUGAAUUGUGGUUCAUAUGUAUUUAUGAAACUUUGAUUUUGAUUCAAUUGUAACAUUUAGGGGGCAUUUGGUUCACCAAAUCUUAGAUUACAUUCCGUAAUAGGAUUAUGAGAAUGUAAGAUUAUCUUGUUUGGUUCAUUUGGUUGGAAUGUAAGAUUCAGGUGUUUGGUUGAUGAAAUGUGAGAUUACCUAAAAGUAAAUUUUAUUAUAUUUUCCUUGUUAUAAAAUUUUUAUUUUUUGUUACAUCACAAAAUAUAGGGGAUUAAUUAAAAUAAAUAACCAAGAAAUGACCUUGGUCUGAUGGUUAAGUAGUUAGUGCACUCCUUAAAGGUCCUAGGUUUUAUCCAUUCCUCUCAUUUCUUUUCUUUUCAUUUUCAGCAAACUAGGGUGAAACAACACUAAAAUGAAUAUCAUUUGUAAUAGAUAUUUAACAAGAGUGGGUAGUAGCCUAAUGGUUAAGCAUUUACUCCUUUCCCUUGCUUAGUAUUGUUCAAGUCAUGCUCUUCUCCUCUAUUUUAUUUUAAAUUUUGGUCAAAAUUGGGUAAUUCGGGCAAUCCCUUAAGAUUUGAAAACCCUAAGUAUUUAGUCCCUCUUUUUCUAAUUACUCUAAGAUUUUGAUUUCUUUUUCUAUUUUAAAUUGAAUUCUCCUUCCUUUCCCUAAAUCUUCGCAUAUCUCUUUUUCAUCAUCUUCUUUACAUCAAAUUUUCUCUCCACUAUUGAAAUUAUUUUUUCUUUCGAUAUCAAAUCAAUCUAUGAUAAAUUGAUUCCCUACCGACUUUUGAAAUUCUACGUGAUAGCCUCCAUAAUUCAUCAAGUGCAGUAAAUGCACUCGAUCUAAAGUUUAGGGCCCCAAAUUUUGCAGGAUUUCUAUCUGAUAUUGAUCUUUCAAAUCAAUUAGUCAAUCUUUCACGGUUUUUGACGAAUCUUUCAUUAAUAUUGUUGAAUCUUGAUAAAUCUUAGAAAACAAACGUUAAAUCUUGUAUAAUUGUCAUUUGAAGAACUCAAUUUAGGUAUCACAGAUCAAAUUUGAAUGUGAGGAACAUCACUCGAGAUCCUAGUUACAAGUGUGUGUUCUUUUACAAGUGAAUCGAGGUAAAAUCGUGCCUAUUAUAGAGCCACACAGGCAUUUGGGCCACUCAUAUAGACCACAGAACCCUUCACAUGAUCAUGUCCCCUUGAAACCCUAGAUUAUUUCAAUUCACACACGGCCUAGGACACUCCACACGGUCAUGACUCCCUUGUAGAUUGAUUUUGCAAAUACCACACGGUCACAGUCUAUCACACGACCUAGCCACACAGUUGUCUAUCCCCUUCACAAAGUCUAGGGCUUUCCACACGGCCAAGUGUCCCCUAUUUCUCAGAUUUUACAGUUUUACCCAAAAGUUUUAGGAUUAGAUCAAUUUAGUCCCUGAAUAAUUUCUAAACUAUUUCUAGUGCUCUAAUUUAUUUAAUUGAGCCCUUGAUAAUAUGAAUUAUAUUAGAAUCCAUGAUUUGAUGGACUAAUUUAAUAUGAAAUAUAUAUAUAUAUAUUUGCAUGAACUGUUAACAAUACAUAUGUUUAUUGUUUUAGAGUUUGAGAUUGUAUGUUUAGUAUGCCUUAUGUUACAGUUAAACUGAACACUUAAUAAGCAUGACUUUUGCUACUGAGUUGAUCUAUUAUAAGCAUAUUAUUUACUACUAUGUUGAACUGUUAUAAGCAUAUUGAUUGCUACUGUAUUGUUUUUUUAAAAGCAUAAUUAAAUGUUACCGUAUUGGUAUGUUUUCAGCUUGAGCUAAAACACUGCAUGGGGUGGGAUGAUAUGUACAGACAAAGAAGUGACAGUUUAUCUGUAAAUUUUUUAUGGGUCCAUAGCCCAGUGACAGUAUUUAUCCUUUAACUACAAAUGUGUUGUACAUCCACAACCCAUCAACAGCUUUUACAUGCAAAUAUGUUGUGCAUCUACAGCCUAGUAGCAGAUUUUAUCUGCAAUAUUUUGCUAUGCACCCACAGUCCAACGGAAGAUUUUAUUUACGAAACCAGUGGUGGUCAAACCACAACAUGGUAUGUAGUUGGUUGGAGUUUAGGGGAACUCCCAUUAUGUUGUGUAGUGAUAGGGUAGGAUCUUUUCUGUUAAACUAAAACUGUAUGGCAUUCAUAAAGUAUGUGCAUACAAACUGGAUUUUUCUAAAAUGACAUAUAUAUAUGUAUACAUUGAUUGAAGUGAUCUGAAAUAUCGGUGUUCUGAAAUUGCUAUUGUGUACUGUUUUAUACAUGAUGUUUUUGUAUACUUAAGCGUUUGCAUUGGUUACUUGUGAUAGAAUGCACACUGAGCUUCAUAGAUCACUCCAUUUUUAUUUCCAUCUCUAUAGAUAACCCACCAGGUUAAGAUACGAACAUGAACGGAGGGACUGGGCUUGGUUUUGUUUUUAUUAAAUAUUUUAGAUUUAUCAUUUGAUACUUUCGUUAUUCAAAGACUAUAAUGUUUUAAUUUCAAUUUAUGGCAUGAGACUUAGGAAUUGGGUUUUAAAAGCAUGCAUGACAUUUAAUUUAAUUUAAUUUUAGGAUACUGAAAUAUGAUUUUCAACUAUUUAUGCAUAUAAUCUGAUUAAAUCUAAAUUGAAUAUCACUUUUCUGUUGCUAGAUUGUAUAUAAAAUUUGACUAAUAAAUAAAAUAGAAAUUAACUAAGUUUUCAAUGGUAAUCACCUUUUUUUCAAGAAAAAUUUUAGAUUAAUCAUAUUUUUGUCCACUCAGGAUUUUUUUAAAAAUAAAUUAAAUUUUCUUCUAAAUAUAAAUAAAUAUUUUAAAUUAAUUAUUUUAUAAAUCUCGAUUGCUACUAGGUCAUUUCGACGGCCGAUGUAAUCUCUCGAAUUCGGAUUUAACAUCUAAGCUAGGUUGGGGAGGUUAUAUUUGGUGGUAUCAGAGCCUAGAUUUUUAAACUUGGACCGUGAAAAUUUGAUUGAGUCUGGCUGCAUGCAUAAAAAGGGUAGUUUGGGAAAAACCAUGCCACAAAUUUUUAGAAAUUAGUUUCUACAAGAAAUUAAAUCCGAGACUCCGAUGCCUUUCCCACUGUAGCUACUAUUGCUAUUGACACUUUAGAUAAAAUGAAAUCCUUUAGACUAUAGAUAUAUUGUAGCUAAUGCUUGAACAUUUAUGUGAAAACUGUAGAUAUAUUUAGAUCUUAAAAACUUUCGAAAACAUAAUGAAAACACUAGGUAGACGUGGUAAGGGUAGGUCGCGUAAGGUUACACAUAUACAGCUGCACCUGUAGAGCUGCCCUGUCACAUCCCAAAAACCAAGUUAAAAGAAUUGGGUUGGUGAAAAUUGAAAUUCCCGAUUUAUAAAGUUAUCUUUGAGUAUUUAUAAAUAGAGGGUUUGAAACGAAUAUUGAAAUUGGGGUCAUAAAUAAUUAAAUAAAGUAUUAAAAUAAUAUAAUAUGGUAUUAUUAUAUUAAUUAAUCUAAAACAAAACUUGAUUACAAGGUUUAAUUUGAAAAUAGUGUGUUUUAAUUGAAUUAGGACCUAAUUGGAAAAAGGGUAAAAUGAAUUAAAAUAUUAGUAAUGAGACUUGACCAUGAUUAUUAAUUAUUAUAUAUAAACUAAAAUAGGAAUGUGUUAAAAACUAUAAAGUUAAAUAAGUUAAUAAAAUAAAUUUGAGUAAAUGUAUAAACUAAUAAAAAAUAGAUAAAGUUGAGCAGGAAAUAAAUAUAUACAAAUAAGAAAUAAAAUUAACUAAGAAAUGAGUCUUAGGGUUUGGUAGUUAAGUGUUAUUCCCCCAUCCUAGAGUUUCUAUGUUCAAGCUUUCUUCUCCUAUUUAUAUUCCUUUUAUUUUCAGCAACCCAAGAUAAAAGCCACACUAAAAUAAAUAUUAUUUGAGGUAAAAACUACAUAAGAAAUAGGCUUAGGCUUAAUGGUUAGCAUGCUAGUUUCCUUCCCAAUUGACCUAGGUUUGAAUCCUUUUUUCCCUUUUUAUUUUAUAAUUUCACCAAAGACACUCCAAACAUUAAAAUAUGUAAAAUUAAGUGUAAAAAUUAAGCAAGAAUGAACAACAAGAUCAAUGGUAAAGUGUUAGCUCCCCUAAGAACAUGAGUUUGAGCCUCCUCCUCCUCCUCCCCUAUUAUUUUAAUUUCAAAAUUUCGACAAAAUAUUGAAAAAAUUACAGAAGACACCUUAGGGUUUACAAACACUAAGAAUUGACCCAAUUCUUUCCUAAUUAAAAUUCAUAUAUUACUCCUUCCCAAAAUUCCAAUAGAAUUAGAAUUCUACCAACUUUUUAUCUUCUUUUCCUAAUUAGAAUUUCAGUUUGCCCCUUUUCAAAUCUUAAUAGAAUUUGCCCUCCAUCCUUCUAUUUAUUAUCCCUUUUCUUUUCCACCCUCUUCUUUGCAAAAUAUUUUCUUUCCAUUAUUGAAAUUAUUUUUGCUUUCCAUAUUGAAUUAAUUCCCGAUAAAUCGAUUCUCUAUCGAUUGUUGACCUCUUCGUUAAUAGCCUCCGUAAAUUCAUCAAGCUCAAUAAGUACAUCUCGGUUCAAAGUUUAGAUCCUGAAUUUUCAAAAUAUUUCUAAUCGAAAUUAAUCUUUCAUUCAAUCUAAUUAAUCUUAAUAGUUUCUUGUCACAUCUCUCAAAAACCUUGAUUUAUCUUGAAAUCCUUCAUUAAUUUUUGUGUAAAUGUCAUUUGAAGGACUCGAUUUAGGUACCCUAGACUAGAUCUAAGCACAAAGAAUGGCGUUCGAGAUUUCAGAGUCAGGUGUGUGUUCUUUUACAAGUGAAUCGGCACAAAACAGUGUCUAGGAUAAGACCAGAUGACCCUUCACAUGACCAUGUUCCCCAGAAACCCUAGGUUUUUCAAUUCUCACAUGGUUUAAGACCCACCACACGGCCUACCACACAGUCAUGUCUUCCCUAUAGGUUGAUAUUGCAAAUACCAAAUGGCCAUAAUUUGUUACACGGCCUAACCACACAGCCAGGGCUUCCCACACGGUCCGGUCACACAGUCGUGUGUAUCCUAUUUUUCAAAUUUUAUAGUCUUGCCACUAUUUUUCAUAUUUUAUUAUUUUGUCCCUAAUUUUUAAAUUUUAUAGCUUUGCCUUUAUUUUCAGAUUUACAGUUUUUCCCCUAUUUUACAAUUUUCAUAUUAGACCUUGAAUAGGUUUCAAACUUUUUUUACUGAAUUAAAACAUAUAAUUAGGUCAAUGAUAGUACACAUUAUGUUAGAAUGUCUGAUUUGAUUGAAUGAAUUAAUAUGAUAGUGAUAUAUAUUUGCAUGAAUUAUGAACAACACAUAUGUCUAUUGUAAUUGUAGUUGUGACUGUACGUAUAGUAUAGCGUAUACCGUUAAACCAAUCACAUAGAAAGCAUGACUUCAGUUAUUGAGUUAAUUUGUAACAAACAUAUUAAUUGCUACUGAAUUGAAUUGUUUUGAGCAUAUUGUUUGCCACUGCAUUGUUUCGUUAAGGGUAUAUUAAAUGCUAUUGUAUUGACCUAUUUUGAGCAUUCCAUAUUGCAUUGCAUAGGGUGGGACGAUAUGUAUGGAGGAAGAUCAGACAGUUUAUUUACAAAAUAAAUAUGGCUAUGCAUGCAAGUCAUUGCCAUGCAACAGCUCUCAUCUGCAAACCACUGUGAAUCUAUAGCACGAGUUAGAUUCCAUUUGUAGGGUAUUGUUGUGAAUCCACAUCCAAAGGAAGAGUACUUUUGUGUAUCCAUAGCCGAAAGUAGAUUCCAUUUGCAGGAUUUCAUUGUGUAUCCAUAGCCAUGUGACAACUCUCAUUUGCAAAUAUUGUUGUGUGACCGCAGCCUAUGCCAGUUUUCAUUUGUGAACCAGUAGUGAUUUAACCAUAAAUCCGGUUUGUUGGUGGAUAGAGUUCUAGGAAACUCUUAUUGUGGUGUGUUGUGGUGGGGUGGGACAUUUUCUGUUAAACCGGAACUGUAUGACAUUCAUGAAACAUUUGCAUAUAAAACUGAGAAUUUCUGAGAUGAUACAUAUAUAUACAUAUGUACAUUGUUGAAAGAUUUGAAAUGUUGAUAUGUUGAAAUUGUUAUUGUGAAUUAUUUUAUGAAUAGUAUUUUUGUAUGAUAAAUCGUUGCACUGAUUAUUCCUAUGAUGAGUUGAUAUAAAAUAAUGAUAUUUUGAAUUGUCAUUCAUUUGUUAUUACUCUGAAUUCUGAGAUAGUGAAGUGAAUUGUUUUAUGUGAAAAAUUGUCAAUCUAAAGUUCUUUAUGAAUGUGUUUAUUCACAAAAUUAUUAAAUUCAUGUGCCUUGUCUACAGUUUGCACUGAUUUUACUUGCGACGGAAUGCACAUUAAGCUUCAUAUCUCACCCUCUUUUAUUUUUCAUCAUUUCAAAUAACCCACCAAAUUAGGACACGUACGCGAAUGUGACAUCAGAAGGGUCUCAGAUCGGUUUAAUUUACUGAAAUAUUUUUGGUUUAUUAUUUGAUAUUUUUAUUAUUAUUCAGAGACUGUAUUGUUUUAAUUUCAAUCUAUGGAAUGGGACUCGAGAAUUGGGUUUAAAAAGCAUGCAUGACAUUUAAUUUAAUUUUAGGAUACUGAAAUACAACAUUUAAUUAUUUAUACAUAUAAUCUGAUUUAAAUCAGAAUUGAAUAUCAUUUUUUCGGUGCUAAUCUGUAAAUGUGUUUUGUUAAGGAAGUAAAUUGAAAAAUUAACUAAGUUUUCUUAAAAGUAGUCAUUGUUAUGUAGCAAAGCUAAAUUAAUUCGAUUUUUGAUAACCUGUGAGUUCUUUGAAAAAAGACUAAGUUUUCUUCUAAAAUAAAUAAAUAAAUAUUUUAAAUUAAUGCUUUUCAAAACUCCGAUAACCUUGCUAGGCCAUCUUGGCGGCUGAUGUAAUCUGUCAAAUUUGGGUCUAACGUCUAGGCCGGGUUGGGGAGGUUACACACCCACUAUUCAGGGUGAAAAUUCAAUCCCGGAAGAGGAUUAUGUUGAUAACUCCACCGCCAAUGGUGGCGAAGGCUAUGAGAACGGAGAUGACUCAGUGACAUAGGCGAUGCUGAGGGUGUUACAUAGGGUUGCUAGAGCCCAAACUAGAUCAGGGAACUAUGGGUCCGUUGCGGAAAGGUUCCAAUCAAAUGGGACGAAAACUUUCAAAGGUGUUGCUAAAACAACUCCUACUAUGGUAGAGUAUUGGAUGGAGUUGACGAAAAGGAUUUUGGAGGAUUUAGACUAUACUCCAAAGCAGAAGUUGAAGGGCACUGUGCUUUUGCUUAGGGAAGAGGCCUAUCUUUGGUGGCAGUCUGCUGUAAUGGGCACACAGGCUAAUUGUAUUAACUGGGAAUAUUUCCAAAGGGCCUUCCAAAAGAAGUAUGUGGGUACUAGGUAUGUGCAAUCCCAUAGACUCGAGUUCAUUGAGUUAAAAUAGAAAGAUAAGACUGUGCCAAAAUAAGAGGUUGAAUUUCUAAGACUUAACUGCUACGCCUAAAGAAUGGUCACCACAAAGCAAGAUAAGUGCGUGAGGUUCGAAAAUGGGUUCCAAUUCGACCUCAAAAUUUAGGUUGCUUCACACUAGGAAUGGGUAUUUGAAACCCUUGUGAAGAAAGUCAUAAUUGUGAAGGAGAUCAAACAAGUGGAACUUGAAAAAUGAAAGAGUAAGGUCUUGGUUAAGAGAGGUUCUGGUUCCACUUAUUCGGAUUCUCAUCCUAUAAAAUAAGCCAAAGAGAUUAGACCAAAACAAAGGCUUGUUGUAGCUAAUUCUGAGGAUAGAAUUUAUAACUGUAUGUAUUGCGGUAAGUGCUACCCAGGCGAGUGUUGGAAGAAAUUGGGUGCUUAUCUGAAGUGUGGGUCGACGGAGCAUAUGGUAAGAGAUUGCCCUCAUCGAAGUGAGUAAGCACAAGCUCUACCCGCAAUCAAGCUCAAAACCAAAGAUCGAGUUAGUUACCUCCAAGGGGCCGAGGUCAAAAUAGAACCACAAAUACUAUAGCAACCAAUGCGAACCAAACUGAGGCUAGACAAGUCACUCUUAUUUAUGUCAUUCGAGGUUAUGAGGACAGAGAUGCAUCCGAUACCAUCACAGGAAUUUUUCCCUAAUUGACAUAAGAUCUAAGAGAUUUUGCCCUUUGGAAACAGUCAGUACCUCAUUUUAUUAAUAUUGAGUAAAUUGACUAUCAUUAUUAGAGAUUAUUUUAUAAAAUAAUUAUAUGUAGAUUUCAACAACUGUACAAAUGAAAUUAUGAACAUAAUUUUGUAUUUCUGAGCUUAAAUUCAGCAAAGUGGCAAAGCUAUAUUAGGUAAUAGAAAUUUUACAUUCAUCCACAUGUCAUAAUAUUAUGGUGCCAAAUGGAAGAAUUGUACCAAUGUCACGUAAACUUCCUAAAAUGUAACCUAAAAUUGUUUUAGUAUAUAUAUGAUUUUAAUAACAUUUAAAUUAUUAAUAGUUGAAAAUAUCACCAAUGCAAAUUAUAAUAAAAUAAAAAAUUAAAUGUACUAAUUGAUGGGUUUUUAGAUUCUACAAGUAGGGUUAAGAUAAUGAUAAGUGUCCGAUAUGGUAUAAUAAAAUAUUAAAAAGAAAUGAGAUACAUGACAAAAUUUUAACUUUGCUUAUGAAGUUAAAAAAGUACACUACUAGUGUAUCAAAUAUUAACCCUUAGGGGAUGUUUGAUUUAAGGUAAUGACUAUGCCAUUACAAGCCUAUUACAAGCCUAUUCUACAGGUCCACACAAACAGAUGUUUGGUUCAGUGAAAUACCCUAUUAUGGGUGUAUUCCGUUCCGGACUUAAGCAGAGAUAUUUGGUGAUUUCUAUUCCCUCCCCUCUUCACUUGUUUACUCAUUCGUUGCUUGAAGAACCCUAUCUUACCCUCACCAAAUUCUCACCUCAAAAACACUCAAAUGACAGCCAUUUCUUGCUUCCUUCAACUCCGGUACUCCUCUUCUUCAUCCAACGUCAGGUAAACAUUUUUCCUUCCGCUGUUCCUUUCAUUUUCCUGUCUGUCAUUUUUUCUUACCCACAAAUUUUUUCUACCUCUUUGUGUUACUGCUUCAUUCACCAUCAUCUCUAAUAUUCUUUUAAUAAAUAAAGUCUCUGAAAUCUUGGAUCUGAAUUUUUGUCCUACCAGGCUUUCGGUGAGUUUACCUUUUCUACCUCUUCUUUGAUUUUAUUUUUCAUGUAAAUCAAAACCCCAUUUUGUUAAAAUUUAUGUUUUGGCUGCAAAUGAGAAGUUCAAUUUUGAUGAUCAAGAUCUUUCCUUUUCUUGUAAUUUAUGUUUUGGUUUUUUUGAAUUGAAUACCUAAAGUCUUAAUCUUUUUGAGAAUCUAUUGAAUUGCUUGUUUGGGUAUGUUGAGAAAUGAUAGAAAACUUAAUUGUUUGUAUGAUUAAAGGAAUUUUUUAUAAUUUGAUAGUUAAUUUUUUGUAUGAUCUAACUUUGAGAUUGUAGCCAAUGUAGGCUGGUUUUUUUUAAUCAUUUAUGAUUUCUAUUGAUAACAUUUGGAUCAACAAAUUUUCCAUCUUCACUACUUUCCAUACCUAAAUGAUUGACCUAUUUAAAAGCUAAACAAUCAAACAGGUGAUGGUGAUUCCAAUGAAACAAAUCAACCCCUAAAGUGGAAUAUAAAUCAUUUCCACAAACAAAAGGUAAACAAAAGAAUCAACCCCAAAAAAAUUCUAUUCUAUAAUAAGAAGUAUCAAUUAUGAACUAAAACAAGAUAAAUCGAUGUUUACCCACUUCAAGUAUAGGAACAAUGAUUGAUUCCCAAAAUCUAGCUUUUGCUUUUUAGCUCACUUUCCAAAUCAUUUUUUCCCCAGUUUUCUGAAUGACAUGUUAAGCAAAACAAAAAUAAUUGUUUGUGUGAUUAAAGGAAAUUUUUGUAAUUUGAUAGUCAAUUGUUUGUAUGAUCUGACUCUGAGAUUGCAGCCAAUGUGGGUUGGUUUUUUUUAAUCAUUGAAUAUUUGUAUUGAUAAAAUUUGACUUGAAAAGGCUUUGUUUAUUUUGUGUACAUCAUCAAUGGAAUUAAUACGUCAAUUUUGAUCCAAUGGUUGGCAUCAAUACAUUGCUGUUUAUUUUUGAGAUGUUUCCUUAUCUGCCUAUCAUUUGUUUUUGCAGAUGUUUUAAUAUUUGGGGAUUUUUAUUUUAUUUGGUUUCCUUUGUGGACUAGACAUGAUGUUCUUUCCUAAAAUUUUUUAAUUCAAAAUAGGGUUAUAUGCUUAUGAGAGUUACUAUUCUUUAGCAUCGUGUUUUCAAUAGUGACUCAAUUUUAGUUUAUACAUGUAUAUUUUGUUAAUAUAUUAUUUCUAUUAACAGUAAGGGUUGUUGCUGUUUAAUAAUAUUGUUGUUCGUUUUUUGACCAUGUAAUCUUAUGAAACUUGUAUUUCUAGUAUGAUAUACUUUAAACCAUUUCCUAAAUUAUUAUUUUUCCAUGUUUUAUUGUUGUUGUGUGUUUGCACUACUUGUUUGAGUCAUUUUAGUUUAGUCAUAUGCUAGAUGAGUAUGCUUUAAUUGUUCAACCUUAUAUAAUAUUAUGUGUUCAUUUUUAGUUUUAUUAGUUUCAUGUUUUCCAUUCAUUUUUAUGAUAAACGGUGAAUGGUUGAAGGAGCAGUGAGAGCAGUAGUAGUUUAGACUUUUUUUUCAAUUUUUGUUCAUCAACUAAUGCAUUUUGCCUUUGUUUUUUGUUAAGUUUUUUUUUUGGAUUUUUUAGUUGGAAAUGAUCAUUUGGUUAAUUUUAAGUUUUAAAAGAUCUAGGUGUUGAUUUUUUUCGAUUUUGGGCUAGGAUAAUUUAACGCAAUAUAUUUACAAGUAUAAUAUAUUUUGUGAUUGUGAAAAAAGGUUCUAGGAAAGUUCUUAGAAUGGUUUGUGUGUUAAAUGUGUAUCCUCUUGAAAUAAUGGAAUGAUUUGUGUGUUUUAGCUAAAGAAGUGAUUGAAGGUCGCAACAAGGAGGGGAAACAUAUCGCUCAAGGGUGUGCUAAGGUAACAAUACCCUGCUAAUGUCUUUGUUGUAAGUUGGUUAUCUGUUCAACUUUGGAAAGAUGAAAUUUGUUAAUGAAAAAUGAGGCUGCUAAGGUAAAGAGCAACACACCAAAAUAUAAAGCAAAACCGCAGUAGUUACCCUUUUAAUGGAAUUAAGUUAAUACCACUUUUAUUUUAUAUAUUUUAAAUUUGACUUUGCCAUGAACAAAAUAGACUAAUUACCCUUUUAAUGGAUUGAUAAAAUAUAAUAAAAAUAUAUAAUUAUUAACUUGGACCAGCGAAAAGAAUAUUUAUAAUAAUUUUAAAUUCAAUUUUUUUUAUCAAAAAGUAGUAUUUUAAUCUAUGGUUUAAAUGAUAUGUUUUGUUUAUCAAAAUUGGAUUAAAUUGAUGAAUUGAAUUGAUUCAAUCGGUAUUAUAAAAUUAAGAAAAAAUCAAUUAAUAAAAAAUCAAUUGAACUGGGUUAAAAUCUGAUUAAAAACUGUUUGAAUAAAAUUUAAGUUAAUUUAUAUAUUUAAUUUUGUUGUUAUAAUUUAUAAAAUGAAUGCAUAUGUUAAUAUUAUUAAUUUAUGUUUAUCAUUUUUUUUUAUUUUUACAAAUUUCAAGAUUUUUUGAAAUAAAAAUAUUUUGAAGUUUUUACUUUACAAUGAUUGAACUAAUUAUUUAAUCAUCUUUACACUCUGAUCUGUUAUUCAUUUUUUUUUAUUUAAACACACAUAAAAAAUAUAAACUAAGAUGAUGUAAAAAAACAAAUAGAAAAUCUAUCAUUCGCAAGUUGUAUUAAAGGCAGACCUAACCACUUUUAAACACUAAAAAAAAAGAGAUAGAAAUUAUAGAAAUAAAAAACAUAUAAAUUAUAAAAAAAUAUAAUAAUAUAUAAUACAAAACAAAUUAAACAGAGGUAUAAGAAAUAAUGUAGUGUGGGAAAGGACAUGAAUGACAAGAAGAUUUCAAUAAAGAAAAAUUCUACCCACUUUAUAAAAAAAAUCAUAAAUAGUAGCGAUUCAUAUAACGUGGACAGUUCAUCAUAAACGUGACAAAAAAAGUAAUGACUCCAUCACUUUUUUUUUUAGAAGGAAAAAGAAAAUGGAUGUAUUUAACUUUUAUAAUAAUAACUUAAUAACUCUUUUGCUAUUACUUAUAAUAAUUUUAUUUUUAUAUACAAUAAAAAAACAAUAAUUAUAUUUUUAUAAAUAUUAUUUUAUUAUAAAAUUUAGACAAAAACAAUAUAAUCUCGAUAGGUAUAAAAAUUGGUCAACAAUUAACUUCUUCAUUCUCUUUCCCCCCAAAACAAGAAGAGAAGGGAAGAGCACCCAAGGUUUCAUUACGUUUAUGGUGUGCUUGACUUUGACAAAUACCCAAAGUACUCUUUAAGAUUUUCAAACCAAACCGAGAAGGGAAGAGAAAUUAUUUUUUUGAUGAGCACAUUCUUCAUGUUUCUUACUGUAAACAUAUAACGGAAUUGAGUUAAUACAAAAUAAAAGAAAAUAAGACCUUAUUUAAAUACCUUUUUUAGUUUAAGUAAAAUGUUAUAUUAAGUAAGUAGAGCCCUUUCUAUUUAACUAUUCAAUAUAUACCUUAUAAAAAAAGUAAUAUAUUCAAUUAUUUCUUUUCUUUUCCCACAAAAAUUAUUACAUUUAUGUUAUUUUUUCCUUUUACUAAUUUUAACUAUUCAAACAAAAUAAUAUAUCUUUUUCUAUUCACGAUUAUUAACUCAAAUUUAACAUUAGUUAAUUACAAUGUGAGGAUGAAUACAAGCUCUUUAAAAGGUAAAUUAAAGAUCGAAUUUUUAAAAAGUUUCAUGUAAUAUAUGUAUAUUUCUGUAAAAUUGGAAAUUGUGUAAUUUGGAUGUGGAUGUAUUUUAAGUUUAGAUGUUCAUCAUUAAUUUUUCUUUUAAAACAACUAUAAUUUUUGUUCAUGACAUUAUUAUUCGCUAAAUAAAGAGCCGUUUUUGUUGAAUGAAAUUUGAUAAAGAAAUUAAUUUCAAGUUUUUUACUUGCGAAGAUAGUUGUAAUUUCUAUUUAAGCUUUGCAAAGAUUCCUAAUAUGUAUUGUUCAUUUUUCUUUGACAGUGUGUUAUUUUUUCCUCUUCUUAUUUGGCUUGCUUGAUUGCUUCCUCUACCCACAGUUGAGCUUCUUGUAUCUACCGAACCACUAUAAGUUCUUUGGAAAUUAAAUUCUUUGAUUUUGUUUUACUUCUAUUGAAAUUAGUAUUGAAGUACUAUGAUUUGAAGAUAUGUAACACUUUAAUAUCUUGCAGUAAUGGCUCGUCUGCCUUUAAUAGUACAGAGUGAGAGGCGCAAAAGAAUUGUUCUUGCAUUAAUAGUAUGAUUGCAAACGUGUACUAUUGUGAGUUAGUUCUUAGUCAUAUUGGGUGCCAUCCAUAGCCUACAUACUUAUAGACUAAGGAUUAGAUCAUAUAUUUUAGAUUUUUAUGCAAAACAAGAUUAUGUGAAAAGACUUGUAUAUGCUAGUGACGAGACUUGUAUUGAACAAGUUAGGAUGAAUAGAAUUACCUUUUUAAAACUAUGUGAGAUGUUACAAACUUUAAGGGGAUUGAAGUCGUCAAGGAACAUGCUUGUUAAUGAACAAGUGGCAAUGUUUUUACAUAUCAUUUCUCAUCACCUUAAAAAUCGAGUUAUCAAGCAUAACUUUAAUAGGUCCAGGGAAACCGUUAGCAGAUCAUUUCACAAUGUUUUUAAUACUGUCAUACGCUUACAAGAUGUGUUAUUUAAAAAGUUAGAGCCAAUUACAGCUAAUUCUACAUACCCAAGGUGGAAAUGAUUUAAGGUAUUGGACGGAAUUCCAUAUAUAGCUCGUGCAUAAUUUAGCUGAUUUAGAUUUAAAUAUAGUAUCCUAACCCGAGGUUUUAUACAUGUGAUGUAGAAUUACUUAGAUGCUUUAGAUGGAACCCACCCAACAGUUGAUAAACCUAGAUAUCGAACGUGAAAAAGUGACAUAGUAACAAAUAUGUUAGGUGUUUGUAUACCUUAUAUGCAUUUUGUUUAUGUUCUUUUUGGUUAGGAAGGUUCUGUUGCUGAUGGACAGGUUCUUCGAGAUGCCAUUAGUAGGAGACAUGGACUAACAGUUCCUCAUGAUAAAGUGCAAAAUUAGAGGAAUUUGAACCAAUUUAUAAUAUCAUACUUUUUUGGGAAAUUAAUCAUGAUAAAUAGUUUUUUAUAUAGGUUGUUAUUAUCUAGUUGAUGUUGGAUACACAAACUGUGAGGGAUUUCUUGCGCAUUUUAGAGGACAAAGAUAUUAUUUGAAUGAGUGGCGUUAGGGUUACCAGCCAAGUGCUCUAGAAGAAUUUUUCAAUAUGAAACAUGCUUCACCACGUAAUAUUAUUGAAAGAUGCUUUGGGUUAUUAAAACUUAAAUGGGGAAUACUUAGAAGUCCAUCAUUCUAUCCUGUGAGAGUGCAUAAUAGAAUCAUUAUUGCAUGUUAUUUGCUCCAUAAUUUUAUUUGAACCUAUAUGAGUCUUGAUCCUAUUAAAGUGGAGUUGGGAGAAAGAUUACCUAGUAAUGUGAUAGAUGAUGAUGAACUAAAUAUCGUAAAUAUUCAUCCAUCGAAUGCAUGGGCUACUUGGAGGAUGAAACUAGCCAAUCAAAUGUUCGAUGAAUGGCAAGCAUCUAGAAAUUAGUUAGGUUUAGGGUAAAAAUAGUAAACAUUAAUUUGUUUAUGUUAUUUCAUGUAUUUAUUUUAUGAUACUUCGGUGGUGUUUGAAUUGUUUUUUGUAUUGUACUAGACUUGUUGAAUUAUAAUUUAUUUUCUUUUGAUUCAUCAUGUGCUAUAAUUUUAUUAAGUGAUGACCUUUUGAUUCAUAAUAUUCAACUUAAAUUUAAUUUGCAUUUUUUCUUAAGAAAGUUAUGUUAGGUUUUUCACAAUUAAGUGUUUCUUCCCAAAAUUCUCGAGGAACCAAAAGGAAAUGGGUUCUAGAAGAAGAUGAUGCGUUGGUUACCUAUAUGGAGCCUUUAAUGUAGAUACGAGAUUCAAAGCCCGGUUAUUUAAAUGAGCUACAAAAAAAAUGUUAGAAAAAAGUUUUACCCCAUCUAUAUUGAAGGCUAAACCUAAUCUUGAAUAAAGGAUUAGGACAUUGAAAAGGGAUUGGGCAAUCGUUUAUGACAUGCUUAGUGGAAAAAACAAUAGGGACUUUGGUUGGGACAAGCACAGGUAGCUUGUUAUUGCUUUAUUAUCUUGUUUAGACUAAACUUAUAUCUAAUAUGGAUUCCUCAUUUUUUAUAGAGUCAUAAAGAAGCUGGUCAAUUCAAACAUCGUAGUUUCCCUUGUUAUUUACUGCCAUCUAUACAAAAGAUCGAGCCACUGGGAAAGAUGCUUAAACAAUCACUGAUAUUAUUAAAGAAAUAGAUGUUGAGGAUGUAGCUACUACAAAUACUCAUGAAGAAAGAAACGAUUUCCAUGGAUGUGAAGUUGAUAUUUCUUUGGAUGACAUGGAUCUUUCAGCUACACAACCACAACCACCUAAAAACCAAGGUGAUUCCACAUUUUUAAAGAAGAAAACAAAGAUUUCUGAUGCAAGUGAUCAUAAUUCUUCUACUUCAUUUACUGAUGCUAUGACUUUAUUGGCGGAAAACUACAAAUUGUUGGCAUUGAAAUCAGUAGGAGUAUUGCCUUCGAAGUGCUAAUUCAAGAAAAGUUAGAAAUGACCAUUCAAGAAAGUGCUCUAAAAUUAUAUCCAACAUUAUGUGAAGUAGAAGGUUUAACUGAGGACGAGCGUUAUUGCGCGUUGAGCAAAAUUCCAAACCAUCCAACGCAAAUGCUCAUUUUCUUUAGUUUAUCUUCUUCUGUGCGAUUGGAAUAGGUCAGAAGAUUUCUUACUAACCAUUAAAAAUCAAGGCUGUGUUGAUGAUAUUUUGACAAUUUUUUAUGUUUGUAAUAUUUGGAUGGUAUAAUGACAUGCUAGAAUGUCAUUACAAUGUUUUAACUUUUUGAUGUUGUAAAAUUUAACAUAUGGAUUAUGACAUAUAAGCUAAUGAAAUCAUGUAACUUUUUGUUAAUAUAUGAUUAUUUUUGGAUGUGAAAUAUAAUUCUCAAGCUAUUUAUUACUUCUAAUAUUUUGUUUUUUAUUGUAGAAUAAUUAAAUUAUUUGUUUCACUAAUAAUAUUUUAGCACAUUAAAUAUGUAUUGCAGUUUAAAAUAAUAAAGUAGGUUAUAUAUUAUUUUUAUAAUAUUAUAUAUUAUGAUUUUUUAAUUCAUAUAAUAAUAAUUAUAUUAAGAAUGUUAUUAAAAUAUAUAUUAUUUUAUUAAAUUUUAUUUAAUAAUAAAUAUUUUAAAAUAAGAUUAAAUUAUUUAUUAUUUUUAGCAAAAUAUAUUUAACAAUAAUUUUAUUAAAAUUUAAUAAUAAUAACAAUAAUCAUCUACCUAAAAAAAAUUUUACUAAGGGUACUUUAGUCAUUUAAGCCUUUUUCCUUAUACUAUUAUAACAUCUAUUCCAUUCGACCAAACACAAGAAUUCUAUUAUAGUUCUAUUCCAUUCCAUUCAACCAAACAAUUGAAUUAUUGAUUACAGCUCUAUUCCAUUAUAGUGAACCAAAAGUACUUUUAAAUCAUUAUUAACAACAUUAAAAAAUGAUGGGUUAACUAUACAAAUGGUCACGCAACUAUUAACACGUUUUUGUUUUGGUUGUCCAACUAUAAAAAUAAUUCAAUUUAGACACUAAUUUUAGUAUUCUUUUCUAUUUUUGCUCAGUCGUCGUUAAAAUGAUAAUGAAAAUAAUGACGUGGCUUUUUUCUAACAGAUAUCAAAACUUACAUAUUCUAUCAAUUUAAUCCUAAUUCUAAACAAUUCAAUAAAUUUAAACCGUUCACAUUUACAAAUUCUAUCUAUUUGAUCCUCAAACACAUAUAUAUAAUUAAAGCAUUUAAUUUGUCUUUAUAUUUCACGUAACAACAGCUUUUAAUAUAACAUAAUUUAUAUUAUUUGGAAAUUUUUUCCUAAAUUUUUGAAUCUAAAAGGUAAUUAUAUUAUGAAGAAAAAAUUAUCUUUAAAUAUUAAAAGCUUAAUUCCGGAACACAUAUGAUAUUCCUAGUUGUACUAAUUUGCAGCUUCAUGCUACUUGAUCUUGGUUUCUUUUGAGGGGGCUUUUUGUUUUUUUCUAGUUGUAAAGUAUUACCAGAUUUGUUUCGAAAAAUGGAAAAUACAAAGAGGCAGUGAAAUUUUCAUUUUUUGGGUUCAAAAAAUUUUCAUUAUUUUAUGGAAUUGAUGUGUUUUAUUUUCAAUCGUAAGUCAAGUUUGCAAUCGUAUGGGUUUCUCAUUUUAUUAUUUCUUCCAAUUUUAAUUUGAUUAAUAAUAAAUGUUAAGUUCAUUUAUCAGGUUAGGUCUUAACUUGAAAAAUCACUACAAAUACCUUGUUGUUAUAGAAAAAUUAACAAAACAAUAAAUAAAAGUGGAUGAAAAUACAAGAGAAAUUUUCAUUGUCGUAUUUUCACUUACAAUGUACUAUUUAUAAGCUCCUUUACAUUCAAUUACAUUUAAUGAACUAAGUUUUCUUAAUUACUCCAUUUAAUGAUCUCCUGAUUAUAAAUGAAGUAAAGAGUUUUAUUACUUUAAUAUGCUUAGGGGGUUAUAGACAUCUAUUUAAUUUACAACACUUCCCCUUGGAUGUCUUUUAAAUAAGAAUGUACCUCAUUAAAACCUUUAUUAGGAAAAACCCUGUAGGAUAAAAACCUAAUGAACGAAAAAGAGUACACAAUCUCCUAUUACAAGUUGUCUCGUUAAAAACCUUUACCAAGAAAACCCAGUGGGACAAAACCUUGGUUAAAGGAAAAGAGUACAACGUGUUUUAAACUCCUCCUAAUGACGACAUCACAUUAUAUCUUUGAGUCGACGCAUUCCAAUCUUGUUUCGUAGUCUUUCAAAAGUUGAAGUUGGCAAUGCCUUGGUAAAAAGAUCUACUAAAUUAUCACUAGAACAAAUUUGUUGAACUUCUAUGUCACCUUUCUUCUCAAGAUCAUGAGUGAAGAAUAAUUUUGGUGAAAUAUGUUUCGUUCUAUCACCUUUGAUAUAACCACCCUUUAAUUGAGCUAUACAUGCUGCAUUAUCUUCGUAUAAGAUAGUUGGCAUAUUUUCCUGUAAAGGCAAAUUACAUAUCUUCUAGAUAUGUUGGGUUAAUAACCUUAGCCAAACACACUCUCGGCUUGCCUCAUGCAUUGCAAUUAUUUCAGCAUGAUUUGAAGAGGCAACAUCUAAUUUUUGCUUUGUCGAACGCCAUGAUAUGGCAGUACCUCCACAUGUAAAUAAAUAUCCCGUUUGAUAUCGACCUUUAUGUGGAUCCGAUAAAUAUCCAGCAUCAGCAUAACCAACUAAUAGGGAUUUUGAAUCAUUUGAAUAAAAUAACCUCAUAUCAAUGGUUCCUUUAAGAUAUCUAAAUACAUGUUUAAUUCCAUUCCAAUGUCUACGUGUUGGAGAAGAAUUAAAUCUUGCUAACAAGUUUACAGCAAAAGUUAUAUCAGGUCUUGUGUUAUUUGCAAGAUACAUCAAUGCUCCUAUGGCACAUAGAUAUGGUACUUUAGGACCAAGAAACUCUUCAUCAUUCUCAAAAGGACGAAAUUGAUCUUUAUUCACAUCUAACGAUCGUACAACCAUCGGGGUACUCAAUGGAUAUUGUAACACCCUGUGCCCGAGACCAUUGCCGGAGUCGAACACGAGGUGCUGACCGACUUAGUUCAUUUACUUGCACAGUUCAUUUUAAAAAUUUCCAGACAGCUGGCUAACUGUGUCGCUUUCACCUUAAAAAUCAUAUCUUGAGUUCCACAACUCGAAAAUCAGUUUCGUGAUUUUUCCCUGAAACUAGACUCAUAUAUACAUCUACAAUUUUUUUUCUAUAAUUUUUGGUCGGGCCAAUUAGUACAGUUUAUUUGUUAAAGUCUCCCAUGUUACAGGGAUCGACUACACUGACCUUCGCGCAUAACGACUUGGAUAUCUCCCUGUACAGGGCGUCAAUGCUGAUGCCGUUUGUUUCUAUAGAAACUAGACUCAAAGAGGAAUAUAUACAUAUAUGGAAUGACUCCUAAUUAUCUCUGGUUAAUUUAUAAUGAAUUUCCAAAGUCGGAAAAGGGAAUCCAGAAACCGUUCUGGCCCUGUUUCACGAAAACCUAAAUAUCUCUUAACAUAAAACUCAUAUGACUGUUUCGUUUCUUCCAUAUGAAAGUAGAUUCAUCAAGGUUCAUUUACAUAAUUUAUUCACUAUUUAAUUCCAUUCCUAUUAUUUUUAGUGAUUUUUUUCACAUCCACAUCGCUGCUGCUGUCAGCAUCUGCCUUUAAGGUAGACUUUACCUAUUUCAUAGUUUCCAUGAUUCAAUUAGCCCUUUUUUUUUUGCAUACAUAGCACAAAGUAUAAUCAUGAUUAACCGUUCCAAUGGCUAAUUGUUUCCAAACAUUUCCAUACCUCUUAGUGAUCAACAUACAAAACGAUUAUAGUACUAUGCUAAAAACGUAUAUAAGCCAUUUUCGCAUGGCUAUCCAAAUUUACACAAAAUCUAUGGGUACAUGACCAACAACAAGAAGGGUAGUCCUAUACAUGCCAUUUCAAAGUUCAACCAAAAUUGUACCAAAAGGGGGCUUUGAUAGUGUGGGAGACUUCGACUUCCAAAAAUCCCGAGUCCGAUAGCUGACGAGCCAAAAUCUAUAAAACAGAGAAACAAAGAAACGGAGUAAGCAAUUUAUGCUUAGUAAGUUUUGAGCAAGGGAUUCCAGCACAACAAAAGUAUAGCAUUCAUAUAGCUAAACGGAUAAUUUCAUAUGCACAAAUUCUCAAUAUCAUACUUACUUCACAUUACCAACCCUUAUGUUCAUACACAAAAGAUCAACUUAGCCAAAGGCCGGUAGCUCAUUUAUCGACUGAGCGAAUACAGAUUUGUAAGGGAUCAACUAAUUCAAAGCACACACGAAACAUACCUCAUCGCUGGGAUUUUACGAGCGUAUUAAUUUAAAUUUUUACAGCAAGAUCGCUCGUUCCCAAAUCAAGCAUCUUCGAGGUUUAGCCGGAUAUAACCACUCGCACAAGGCCUUCGGGUCUUAACCCGGAUAUGGUCACUAGCAUAAGUGCCUUCGGGACUUAGCCCGGAUAUAGUCGCUAGCACAAAUGCCUUCGGAUCUUAGUCCGGAUGUAGUCGCUUAGCACAAAAGCCUUCGGGACUUAGCCCGGAUAUAGUCGCUUAGCACAAAAUCCUUCGGGACUUAGCCCGGAUAUCAUUCGAGUAACCAUGCACAUAUAUCAAUAAAUCAUGACACAUUCAUAUUUCAUUUUCAUUACCAAAGCUCAAACACAAGACACUUAUCACAUUUAUAAUUUCGGCUCAAUAGCCACAUACAAGAGCAUGAUUUUGAUUUACUUAAGACAUAGUCUAAUCGAAUCAUAAUUUAAGUCCCAUUACUCGAAAACUUACCUCGGAUGUUGUCGAACGAUUCCGAUGGCUAUUCGACCACUUUUUCCUUCCCUUUAUCGGAUUUAGUUCCCCUUUGCUCUUGAGCUUAAUUUAACAAAUAAAUUGAUUUAAUCAUUUGAGCAUCGAAAAGAGGAACUCAAGGCACUUGGCCCACAUAUAUCCAUUAGACAUUAAAGUCACAUAUGUACGGAAUCAUGAAUCAAACUCAACACAUUAGUUAAUACUCUCCUUAGCCGAAUUUUCUAAGUCAAGAUAAAGCCUUCAAUAUGCUUACCUAUGGCCGAACAACACAUCAACCUAUGUACUCAUUCAUGUGGCCGAUUAUGCAUGUCUAUAUUGAGGCCAGUUAUAUACUCAAUACCACACACAAAUGGCAUACCUUUUACUAACUAAUGCAUUACAUAUUAUAACUCAAUACGCAUCCAUCAUGUACUCCAUAACCGAAACACCAUCAUAUGUAAAUAUAUACCUUGAGAUAUUGUAUAUGUCAUACCAAUACGUCAUGUGCAAACAUAUAUAUAUAUGUGCAAGAGCCGAAUCUCAAAGUUGAUUAUAACUAAACAUGAACAUAAAUCCAAAACACAAAUCUUACCUACCAUGCAAUAAGCAUAAAUCAUACUUAUGGAUAUACCAUGGCCGAAUACAUCACAACACCAUACCAUUUCAAUUUUGGUCAUGGUUAAACAAAAAACUUAAUGUCUCACUCAAAAAUGCUAAAAAGAAAAUCCAAGAGUCAUCAAUCCACCAUCACAUGUAUCAUUAACAAGCUUCAUAUUUAGCAUGCAAUGGCAUUAACACAAAAUCCACCUAGGCCGAAUAUCAUCCCCAUGACAUAGCAAAGAUUUGAACCAUGGGCUAAUUAGAACUCAAGCUAGCAACUAAAAACAUGCAUGAAUCUCAUGGCACAACCUCAAACAUACCUUAAUCUAGAUACAAGUAUGGCCAAACCUCCUCCUAAUCCUCUUCCAAACCAAACAUGAAGCAAGAACUCCUUCCUUCUUCCUUAGAAUUUUCGGCCAAAAGAAAUGAAAAAGGAUGAACAAAAUUUUUUUUUUCUUUUCUCCAACUCACAGCAAUGGGGGGGGAACACUCACACACAUUCCUUUUUUUUUUGUUUUCUUCCUUCCAUUUCUUAUUAGUUUAUUGCCCAUGCUUCUUAUUUUAUUUUUCCAUUAACACAACAUGUUUCAUGACAUGUUUUACCCAUCAUCCCUUGUCAUGGCCGGCCACUAGUACUUAAAUGGGGGGAAAUUGACAUGCAAGUCCACCCCUUUGAUUACAUGCACUAUUAGGCCACUUGCAUUUGCCUAGCACAUUUCUAAAUUUUCUCACAUAAGUCCUAUCAACUAAAUUCACAUGCAAUUAACUAAAUCGAAGCUUAAAACUUUCACACAUUUAUAUUCACAUAUUUUAGGCAAUAAUUAUCACAUUCAAAUAAUUUGGUGACUCGGUCUAGCGGUCCCGAGACCGCUUUCCGACUAGGGUCACUUUAGGGCUGUCACAGCUCUCCCCCACUUAAGAAAUUUUCGUCCCCAAAAAUCUUACCGGUAAAUAGGUUUGGGUAUCGUUCUUUCAUCGAGCUCUCGGUUUCCCAAGUAGCUUCCUCGAUCCCGUGUUUGAGCCAUAACACCUUUACUAACGGAACCCUUUUGUUUCGCAACUCCUUCACUUCACGAGCUAGGAUACGCAUCGGUUCUUCUUCAUAACUCAUAUCGGCUUGAAUUUCAACCUCUGAUGGGCUAAUUAUGUGCGAUGGAUCAGAUCUAUAGCGUCGAAGCAUCGAAACAUGAAAGACGUCGUGAAUCUUUUCAAGUUCAGGGGGCAAAAUCAAUCGAUACGCAACUGGACCGACUUGUUCGGAUAUUUCGUAUGGCCCGAUGAACCUCGGACUCAAUUUGCCCUUACGCCCAAAUCUGAGUAUCUUUUUCCAAUGUGAAACUUUAAGAAACACCUUAUCUCCCACCUGAUACUCAAUGUCUUUUCGUUUCAGAUCCGCGUACGACUUCUGGCGAUCUAAGGCUAUCUUUAGACUUUCACGGAUUACUUUUACUUUCUGUUCAGCAUCUUCAAUCAAAUCCACUCUGAAAAUUUUACUUUCACCGAGCUCGGUCCAAAACAAUGGUGUACGGCAUUUACGCCCGUACAAAGCCUCGUAAGGUGCCAUCUUAAUACUUGAUUGAAAACUAUUGUUGUAAGCGAAUUCAAUCAAUGGUAAAUACCGUUCCCAUGAACCACUAAACUCAAGGAUGCAACAUCUCAACAUAUCCUCAAGUAUCUGAAUUACCCGCUCGGAUUUGACCAUCGGUUUGUGGAUGAAAAGCGGUGCUAAAAUGCAGCUUGGUACCCAAAGCUUCUUGCAAUUUCUUCCAAAAUCGCGAGGUGAAUCUCGGAUCUCUAUCCGACACAACAGAAAUCGGUACCCCGUGUAAUCUCACAAUCUGAGAAACGUACAAUUCAGCUAGUUUAUCCAAUGAAAAAUCCGUACGCACGGGGAUAAAGUGAGCCGACUUAGUCAGUCUAUCAACAACAACCCAAAUCGCAUCCUUCUUACUUGCUGACAAUGGCAGUCCGGACACAAAGUCCAUUAUGACUCGAUCCCAUUUCCACUCGGGUAUCAUGAUCGGCUGAAGUAAUCCUGAAGGCACUUGAUGUUCCGCUUUCACUUGUUGACAUAUUAAACAUCUCGAAACAAAGUCGGAGAUGUCUCGUUUCAUACCAUGCCACCAAAACCGACGUUUCAAAUCGUUGUACAUUUUCGUACUCCCCGGGUGAAUUGACAUUCGGCUACAAUGGGCUUCAUUCAGAAUCAUCGAAAUGAGUUCCGAAUUCCUUGGAACACACAAACGAAUUCUGAACCUCAAACAAUCAUCAUCAUCAAUUUGAAACUCCGAUUCCUUGUUCGGAACACACUCAGCCCGUUUUGCAACCAAUUCAUCAUCGACUUUCUGAGCUUCACGAAUUUGAUGAAUCAAUAAUGGUUUGGCUUUUAAUUCAGCUACUAACACAUUGUCGGGUAGAACAGACAAGUGUACAUUCAUCGCUCGCAAAGCAAACAGUGAUUUCUGGCUUAAGGCGUCUGCAACCACAUUAGCCUUUCCCGGGUGAUAAUUAAUGACAAGCUCAUAAUCUUUCAACAACUCAAGCCAACGCCUUUGUCGCAGAUUCAAGUCUCGCUGGGUCAUCAAAUAUUUGAGACUUUUGUGAUCCGAAAAUACAUGGCACUUCUCACCAAACAAAUAAUGUCGUCAUAUUUUCAAAGCAAAUACGAUGGCAGCUAGUUCGAGAUCAUGGGUUGGAUAAUUUCUCUCGUGUGGCUUCAAUUGUCUCGACGCAUAGGCCACAACUCGACCUUCAUGCAUCAAUACGCAACCCAACCCAAGUAGGGAUGCGUCACUAUAAAUGACAAACUCUUUGCCUGAUUCGAGUUGCACUAAAAUUGGAGCUUCAGUCAAAUAAGUUUUCAGUUGAUCGAAACUUUUCUGACAUUUCUCCGUCCAUUCGAACUUAACAUCCUUUUGAAGUAGCUUCGUCAUUGGUGUGGCUAUCAUCGAGAAACCUUUUAUAAAAUCGUCGGUAAUAACCGACGAGCCCCAGGAAGCUCCGAACUUCGGUAAUAUUUCUUGGAGGCUUCCAGUUAAGUAUGGCUAAAAUUUUGCUCGGGUCAACUCGAAUACCCGAUGCGGAUACCACAUGACCCAAGAAGCUAACCUCUCUUAACCAGAACUCACACUUACUGAACUUAGCAUAUAACUGCUUAUCCCGCAAAAUUUGCAACACUAAUCUCAGGUGCUCAGCAUGUUCGGUCUCAUCUCUUGAAUAGACCAAGAUGUCAUCAAUGAACACAACUAUGAACCGGUCCAAAUACUGUCUGAAGAUUCGAUUCAUCAAAUCCAUAAAUACCGCAGGGGCAUUAGUGAGCCCGAACGGCAUCACUAAGAACUCGUAGUGACCAUACCUCGUUCUGGAAGCAGUUUUGGGUACGUCCGAAUCUCGAAUCCGCAACUGAUAAUAACCCGAUCUCAAAUCUAUCUUUGAAAACACUGAGGCUCCCUUUAGUUGAUCAAACAAAUCAUCAAUACGCGGUAAUGGAUAUUUAUUCUUUAUCGUCACUUUAUUCAGUUGACGAUAGUCAAUGCACAACCUCAUGGUUCCGUCCUUCUUUUUCACAAACAAUACUGGUGCACCCCAAGGUGAGAAACUUGGUCGAGCGAAACCUCUAUCCGUCAAUUCUUGCAACUGAGCUUUCAACUUUUUUAACUCGGUUGGUGCCAUACGAUACGGAGCUAUCGAAAUCAGCGUAGUCCCAGGUACAAGCUCAAUACCAAACUCUAUCUCCCGAACAGGUGGCAAACCCGGUAAUUCUUCGGGAAAAACAUCCGGGUAUUCACAAAUUACUGGUACCGACUCAAGUUUCUUUUCUAAUUCCUUGUUAUCAAGUACAUACGCAAGGUAUGCUUCAUACCCCUUUCUUACAUAUUUCUGAGCCAACAUUGAGGAUAUUACAGCUGGCAACCCAUCCAAGUCCGUAGACUCAACUCGGAUUACUUCGUUAUUUGCGCACCUCAAAUCAAUAGUCUUGCUUUUGCAAUUCACAACCGCAUCAUGCACGGUCAACCAAUCCAACCCGAGAAUAACAUCAAAUUCAUCAAACGGCAGAAGCAUCAAGUCUGCCGGAAAAUAGGAACCUCGAAUUACUAGGGGACAUUUCUUACACACUUUGUCGACAAGCACGUAACGACCCAAGGGAUUUGACACCCGAAUUACGAACUCAGUAGACUCAAUAGGUAAAGUCUUACUGGAUGCUAAGGUUUCACAUAUGUAAGAAUGAGUAGAACCGGGGUCAAUCAAAGCAAUUACAUUAGUAUCAAAGAGAGUAAAAGUACCGGUAAUAACAUCAGGCGAAGAAGCAUCCUCGCGGGCACGUAUAGCAUAAGCUCUAGCAGGCGCACGAGCCUCAGAUCUGGUUGUAGCAUCUCUAGAUCCUCUCUGACCGCCACUAGCAUUUCCCGUGUUUCUAGACAGUCUACCCCGAGCAGUAGUAGCACCUGGUUUCCCACUCUGACUUACAUUUUGUUCAGGCAACCUCGGGCAAUCCUUGAUAAAGUGGUCAGCUGAUCCACACUUAUAGCAGGAGCGGUCAUGGAACCUACAGCUCCCCGAAUGCCAUUUACCACAAUGCUGACACUCCGUUCUGUCUCGACGUUCAUUCCCAACACUGGCGACCGAGGUGCCUCGUGUACCCACAGGGGGUCGAUCACGAUCUCAUCUAAAAAGGCCCGAAGUGCCUCUAGACCGGCCCACAUCAUCUCGAAAUUUCUUCGAUGCCUGUUGAAGAGACUUUCCCGAGGAUCUUUUACGAAACUCUCCAGUUCCCACAUCAACUUUUUGUUUUUCUUUUCUAAGCUCUUCGGCUUUACAAGCUCGCUCGACAAGUACUACGAACUCUCGUAUUUCAAGAAUGCCAAUGAACAUUUUUAUAUCUUCAUUCAGCCCAUCCUCGAAGCGUUUACACAUGAUAGCCUCGGACAAAACACAUUCCCGAGCGUAUCUACUAAGUCUAACAAAUUUUCGCUCGUAAUCAGUAACUGACAUAGAACCUUGCUUAAGCUCAAGAAAUUCCUUCCGUUUUUGAUCAACAAAUCUCUGACUGAUAUACUUUUUCCGAAACUCAGUUUGGAAAAACUCCCAAGUUACUUGCUCUCGGGGCACAACAGAAGUCAGAGUACUCCACCAAUAGUAGGCAGAAUCGCGUAGCAAGGAGAUAGUACACUUUAGGCAUUCAUCGGGUGUACAAGAUAGCUCAUCGAGUACCCGGAUAGUGUUGUCCAACCAAAAUUCAGCUUGCUCGGCAUCGUCGCUAUCCGUAGCUUUAAAUUCAGUAGCCCCAUGUUUUCGGAUUCUGUCAACUGGGGGCUUAUUUGACCUUAUUUGGUCAGUUACCAGAGGUAUUGUAGGUGCGAGGGUUGUAUUAGUCGGGAAUGGAGGUUGUGGAACAGCCGUAUUAGUUCGAAUGUAUUGGUUGAACCAAUCAUUCAUCACGCUAUAAAAAGUUUGCCUAGCUUCAUCAUUCGGAUUGCUAGCAAUCGGUUGAGAGUCCGCCGGAGCUGUCCCUUGUGCGGCAGCAGGCGCCACACUCUCAAGAUCAUCAGCUACCGCUCGGUCGGGAUCGGGAUCCAUUACUAUAAAUAAACACAUUUUCAAUUGUCAGAAAUCACCACACUAUCAAAUAAUCACAAAAUGGCAUGUAUAGCUAGACCCAAACGUAUUACGGUAGUCCUAAAAUCGACUAAAACGUGCUCUGAUAUCAAUAAAAUUGUAACACCCCAUGCCCGAGACCGUUGUCGGAGUCGAACACGAGGUGCUGACCGACUUAGUUCAUUUACUUGCACAGUUCAUUUUAAAAAUUUUCAGACAGCUGGCUAACUGUGUCGCUUUCACCUUAAAAAUCAUAUCUUGAGUUCCACAACUCGAAAAUCAGUUUCGUGAUUUUUCCCUGAAACUAGACUCAUAUAUGCAUCUACAAUUUUUUUUCUAUAAUUUUUGGUCUGGCAAAUUAGUACAGUUUAUUAGUUAAAGUCUCCCAUGUUACAGGGAUCGACUACACUGACCUUCGCGCAUAACGACUUGGAUAUCUCCCUGUACAGGGCUUCAAUGCUGAUGCCGUUUAUUUCUAUAGAAAUUACACUCAAAGAGGAAUCUAUAAAUAUAUGGCAUGACUCCUAAUUAUCUCUAGUUAAUUUAUAAUAAAUUUCCAAAGUCGGAACAGGGAAUCCAGAAACCGUUCUGGCCCUGUUUCACGAAAACCUAAAUAUCUCUUAACAUACAAGUCAUAUGACUGUUUCGUUUCUUCCAUAUGAAAGUAGAUUCAUCAAGGUUCAUUUAAAUAAUUUAUUCACUAUUUAAUUCCAUUUAUACUAUUUUUAGUGAUUUUUUCACAUCCACAUCGCUGCUGCUAUUAGCAUCUGCCUUUAAGGUAGACUUUACCUAUUUCAUAGUUUCCAUGAUUCAAUUAGCCCUUUUUUUUUGCAUACAUAGCACAAAGUAUAAUCAUGAUUAACCGUUCCAAUGGCUAAUCGUUUCCAAACAUUUCCAUACCUCUUAGUGAUCAACAUACAAAACGAUUAUAGUACUAUGCUAAAAACAUAUAUAAGCCAUUUUCGCAUGGCUAUCCAAAUUUACACAAAAUCUAUGGGUACAUGACCAACAACAAGAAGGGUAGUCCUAUACAUGCCAUUUCAAAGUUCAACCAAAAUUGUACCAAAAGGGGGCUUUGAUAGUGUGGGAGACUUCGACUUCCAAAAAUCCCGAGUCCGAUAGCUGACGAGCCAAAAUCUAUAAAACAGAGAAACAAAGAAACGGAGUAAGCAAUUUAUGCUUAGUAAGUUUUGAGCAAGGGAUUCCAGCACAACAAAAGUAUAGCAUUCAUAUAGCUAAACGGAUAAUUUCAUAUGCACAAAUUCUCAAUAUCAUACUUACUUCACAUUACCAACCCUUAUGUUCAUACACAAAAGAUCAACUUAGCCAAAGGCCGGUAGCUCAUUUAUCGACUGAGCGAAUACAGAUUUGUAAGGGAUCAACUAAUUCAAAGCACACACGAAACAUACCUCAUCGCUGGGAUUUUACGAGCGUAUUAAUUUAAAUUUUUACAGCAAGAUCGCUCGUUCCCAAAUCAAGCAUCUUCGAGGUUUAGCCGGAUAUAACCACUCGCACAAGGCCUUCGGGUCUUAACCCGGAUAUGGUCACUAGCAUAAGUGCCUUCGGGACUUAGCCCGGAUAUAGUCGCUAGCACAAAUGCCUUCGGAUCUUAGUCCGGAUGUAGUCGCUUAGCACAAAAGCCUUCGGGACUUAGCCCGGAUAUAGUCGCUUAGCACAAAAUCCUUCGGGACUUAGCCCGGAUAUCAUUCGAGUAACCAUGCACAUAUAUCAAUAAAUCAUGACACAUUUAUAUUUCAUUUUCAUUACCAAAGCUCAAACACAAGACACUUAUCACAUUUACAAUUUCGGCUCAAUAGCCACAUACAAGAGCAUGAUUUUGAUUUACUUAAGACAUAGUCUAAUCGAAUCAUAAUUUAAGUCCCAUUACUCGAAAACUUACCUCGGAUGUUGUCGAACGAUUUCGAUGGCUAUUCGACCACUUUUUCCUUCCCUUUAUCGGAUUUAGUUCCCCUUUGCUCUUGAGCUUAAUUUAACAAAUAAAUUGAUUUAAUCAUUUGAGCAUCGAAAAGAGGAACUCAAGGCACUUGGCCCACAUAUAUCCAUUAGACAUUAAAGUCACAUAUGUACGGAAUCAUGAAUCAAACUCAACACAUUAGUUAAUACUCUCCUUAGCCGAAUUUUCUAAGUCAAGAUAAAGCCUUCAAUAUGCUUACCUAUGGCCGAACAACAUAUCAACCUAUGUACUCAUUCAUGUGGCCGAUUAUGCAUGUCUAUGUUGAGGCCAGUUAUAUACUCAAUACCACACACAAAUGGCAUACCUUUUACUAACUAAUGCAUUACAUAUUAUAACUCAAUACGCAUCCAUCAUGUACUCCAUAACCGAAACACCAUCAUAUGUAAAUAUAUACCUUGAGAUAUUGUAUAUGUCAUACCAAUACGUCAUGUGCAAACAUAUAUAUAUAUGUGCAAGAGCCGAAUCUCAAAGUUGAUUAUAACUAAACAUGAACAUAAAUCCAAAACACAAAUCUUACCUACCAUGCAAUAAGCAUAAAUCAUACUUAUGGAUAUACCAUGGCCGAAUACAUCACAACACCAUACCAUUUCAAUUUUGGUCAUGGUUAAACAAAGAACUUAAUGUCUCACUCAAAAAUGCUAAAAAGAAAAUCCAAGAGUCAUCAAUCCACCAUCACAUGUGUCAUUAACAAGCUUCAUAUUUAGCAUGCAAUGGCAUUAACACAAAAUCCACCUAGGCCGAAUAUCAUCCCCAUGACAUAGCAAAGAUUUGAACCAUGGGCUAAUUAGAACUCAAGCUAGCAACUAAAAACAUGCAUAAAUCUCAUGGCACAACCUCAAACAUACCUUAAUCUAGAUACAAGUAUGGCCAAACCUCCUCCUAAUCCUCUUCCAAACCAAACAUGAAGCAAGAACUCCUUCCUUCUUCCUUAGAAUUUUCGGCCAAAAGAAAUGAAAAAGGAUGAAUAAAUUUUUUUUUCUUUUCUCCAACUCACGGCAAUUGGGGGGGGGGAACACUCACACACAUUCCUUUUUUUUUGUUUUCUUCCUUCCAUUUCUUAUUAGUUUAUUGCCCAUGCUUCUUAUUUUAAUUUUCCAUUAACACAACAUGUUUCAUGACAUGUUUUGCCCAUCAUCCCUUGUCAUGGCCGGCCACUAAUACUUAAAUGGGGGGAAAUUGACAUGCAAGUCCACCCCUUUGAUUACAUGCACUAUUAGGCCACUUGCAUUUGCCUAGCACAUUUCUAAAUUUUCUCACAUAAGUCCUAUCAACUAAAUUCACAUGCAAUUAACUAAAUCGAAGCUUAAAACUUUCACACAUUUAUAUUCACAUAUUUUAGGUAAUAAUUAUCACAUUCAAAUAAUUUGGUGACUCGGUCUAGUGGUCCCGAGACCGCUUUCCGACUAGGGUCACUUUAGGGCUGUCACAGAUAUGUUUUAUCCAUAUAAAAUAUAUUUAAGAUCUUUUUCGUAUAAGUUGACUGAUAGACAUGAAUUUCAUCUUUUAAAUGCUCGAUCUGUAGGCCAAAAUAAAAUUUUGUUUUUCCGAGGUCUUUUAUUUCAAAUUCUUUCUUUAAAUAAUUUACUGCAUUUUGAAGCUCUUCAGGAGUUCCAAUAAUAUUUAGAUCAUCAACAUAAAUAGCAAUUAUCACAAAGUUUGAUUCAGACCUUUUUAUAAAAACACAUGGGCAGAUUGGAUCAUUUUUAUAACCUUCUUUUAACAAAUAUUCACUAAGACAAUUGUACCACAUACGUCCUGUGACACCCCUAAUUUGACCCUAUUCGAAAAGUGGUUUCAGGACCACAAAAUCGAGUCAUAAAAAUAAUUAGCCGUCAUAUUUUAUGACUAUUAUAUGUGAAUACGAAUGUGUGAAAGUUUUAAGCUUUGAUUUAGUAAAUUGCAUGUGAAUUUAGUCAAUAGGACUUAUGUGUGACACUUUUGAAAUGUGAUAGGUCAAAACAUAAGGAUCUAUUGGUGCAUGAAAUAAAAAGGGUGGACUUGCAUGUCAAUUUCCCCCCUAAUUAGUAGUGGCCGGCCAUGAGCAUGAGAGUGGACAAAAUGUUAUGGGGUGAAACAUGUUGGAAACAUGUUGUGUUAGUGUGUUAUGGGAGAAAGAAUAUAAUAAAGGGUUAGUAAUAAAGAAAUGAAAAGGGAGGGGUGAUGAGAACAAAGUUGUCUCAUCCAUGUUCCCCCCCCCAUUGCCGUGACUUGAGAAGGAAAGAAAAGAAGAAAUCGGUUCUUCUUGGCCGAAAUGAAAAGAGGAAGAAAGGAAUGAAGCUAGAAAGGAGAGGGCAGCUGCAUGUAGUGGAAAACCAUGAAAUUUGUUUGCUUAGAAGUUAGAAUUUUCAAGUAGAAGGGUAACUCUUCUAAACUCUCCCUUGCCCAUAGCUUUUCGUUGACAAAUUCUGGUUGCAUUGUUGAUUUGAGCUUGACGAAUAUGUGGGAGAAGAGAAGAUUUUCUUUUCUAGUUGCAAAUGUUGCAUGUCUAGUAGAUGAAGAGUUUCUCACUUGUGUUAAAAGAAUUUAGUGAAUGCUUGUGUUGUUAUAAUUCAUUUUUGUAACUUUGGGGUUGAUUGUAUUUAGCUAACAAGGUAGGAGAAGGUUGUAGUAGAAAAGGGAAAGAGCAAAUUGAAUAGGUAGAAUCGGUGUUGGGAACCUUAGUGAGCUUUCCUUGAACUUUUAUUCUCUUGUGUUUGACAAUUGUUGAAAAUGUUAAAUCAUUGUCCGAAUUUUACCUUGUUGGUAUUGUUCAUUGCUGCCCUGCUUAUGCUAUCUGAUUGUGGUAUUGAUGCUGUUUGAAUAUUGUGUGGUUAAUGACGUUCAGAUAGUGGUGUAUUUAUGUUGUUUUAAGGACUGUUGUUUAGUGUUUUAAUGCAGCAAAAAAAUUGUUGUUUAGACGACAAUUAAUGUUAUCUAAGUGAUUGUAAAUUUAUAUUAAUAAUGGUUGAAGUUGUUAAUGAACAAAUGAUAUAUAAAUGAGCUAUUUAGAUGUUAAAGAAUGUUGUCUAAAUGGGUGAAGACUAUGAUGUCUAAAACUGCUAUUAAUUGUUUUACAAGCUGAAAUUUAAGGGGAUUGAAUGCCGAAAUUAAUUGUACAUGAAGGUUAAAGUUUUUGUAUCCGAUGCUUCAAUCCAAGCUGAGUGAUGGUGUUCGAAAGUGCUCUGAGGCUUUAGCUUAAGAGCAAAGAGGAUCAAAGUUGGAUAGGGGAAAAAGAGAAUGUAAACGAAUAGCCGUGGAUACCUAAUCGUCGACCACUUCCGAGGUAAGUUUUAAAUGAUCAAACGUUGAGUAAAUUCAAUCAAAAUAGGACAUAAUGAGUUGAGUUAAUAAGAUAUGAUGUGGCCAUGAUAUGUCUUAAACUCAAAAGGUAAGUUCAUAAGUGUUUGGACUUGGAAAUUUAAGAGCAAAUUGUAAUAAUUUGCUUUGGACAGCAGCAGUAACGUGAUUUUAGAAAAUCACUAUAAAUUGUUGGCGUGGAAUUAUAGGCUGAAUAAAAUAUGUAAUCAAAGCUUAGUUAGUCUAGUUUCUUAUAAAAGAGACCAUGGAAGCAAAUAAAUUUCCUAUAAAGAGAUAUUUAAAGUUGUGUGGGACUGUGUCAGAAUGACUCUGAAAUCCCUUGUUCUGUUUUUAGAAAAUCAUUAUAAUUUGUAAAAAAAUGGUUAUAAGAUAAAAUUUAUAUGCUUAGACUCCUUAAUGAGUCUAGUUUCAAAUGAAAUCAAAUACAACACAUUUUGAAUUCCGUACAAUGAGAAAUUUGAUUCGUAGUGAAGAGUAGUCAGAUUAGUCAAACAGUGAAACAGGGGAAACUUUAAGAAAAAUCUGGUAUUGAUUGGCCAAACCAAAAAUUCUGAAAAAAAAUCUGUAGAUGGACAUGUGAGUCUAGUUUCAGGAAAAAAAAUUACGGAACUGAUUUUUGAGCUUUGGAACUCAAGAUAUGAUUUUUAAGGUGACAGUGACGCAGUUAGCCAACUGCCUGGAAACUUUUAAAAGUGGACUAUGUAAGUAAAUUAAUUAAGUCGGUUAGCACCUUGUGUUCGACUCCGACAACGGUCUCGGGUACGGGGUGUUACACGUCUAGAUUGUUUUAAUCCAUAUAAACUUUUCUUUAAUCAGAUUGAGCAAUUUUCUCAGGAAACUCUAUAUCCUUCAAGGAUUUUAAAUCCUUCUGGGAUUUUCAUAUAAAUUUCACCAUCAAGUGUACAAUACAAAUAGGCUGUAACAACAUCCAUUAGACGCAUGUCAAAUUUUUCAUAUACUGCUAGACUAAUAAGGUAUCUAAACGUGAUUCCAUCCACCACAGGAGAAUAUGUCUCUUCAUAAUCAAUGUCGGGUCUUUGCGAAAAUCCUUGUGCUACAAGUCGUGAUUUAUAUGUUACGACUUCAUUUUUCUCAUUUUGUUUUCACACAAAUAUCCAUUUAUAUCCUACCGGCUUUACAUAUUUAGGUGUUUGGACUACAGGUCCAAAAACCUCACGUUUAGAAAGUGAAUUUAAUUCUGCUUGAAUUGCGUCUUUCCAUUUUGACCAAUCUUUUCUAUUUCUACAUUCCUCAAUAGAUUUAGGCUCAAGAUCCUCAUUUUCUUUUACUUUUAUAGAAACAUUAUAAGCAAAAUUGUUGUCGGCAGCUAUAUUUUUUUGGUUCCAUCUUUUUCCUGAAGUAACAUAACUUAUUGAGAUUUCUUUGUUAUUACCAUUUUCAGGUACCUGGACCUCUUCUGGGGUUUUUUGAUUAGUUAUAUCUUUGGCCUCUUCUAGGGCACUUGCCUCCACAAUAUUACCAUCUCGAAUAAUUGAUCCGUUUUUUUUACGAGGAUUUUUAUCUUUGGAACCAAUUGGCCUUCCACGCUUCAGGCGUGGAUUACUUUCUUUUGCACUAACAAUUUGCCUUAUUGGGAUAUCAAUUCUUAUUGGAGCAUUGUCAGCUGGUAUGUGAUAUUUUGUAAUUCUCUUUAGGUCAGUAAAUGAAUUUGGCAGUUGAUUGGCAAUGUUUUGCAAAUGUAUAAUCCUUUGAACUUCUUGUUCACAUUGACUUGUACGAGGAUCUAAUUGAGAUAAUGAUGAUCCAUUCCAUGUAAUUUCUUUUACCAGUUGUCUUUUCUCUUCCCCUAAUGUUGGGAAUGUUGUUUCAUCAAAAUGACAAUCAAUAAAUCAUGCAAUAAAGAAAUCUCCAGUUAAUGGUUCAACAUAUUUAAUUAUAGAAAGAUAUUCAUAACCAACAUAUAUUCCCAACCUCCUUUGAGGACCCAUAUUUGUGCUUUGUGGUGGAGUAAUUGGAACAUAUACUGCACAUCCAAAAAUUCUAAGAUGGGAAAUAUUUGGCUCCUGGCCAAAAGCCAAUUGUAAUGGGGAGUAUUUAUUAUAACUUGUUGGCCUUAAGCGCACAAGUGCUGCUACAUGCAAAAUAGCAUAUCCCCAAGCUAUAACAGGGAGUUUUGUUCUCAUAAGCAAUUGUCGAGCUAUUAGUUAGAGGCAUUUGAUAAAUGAUUCAGCUAAAUCAUUUUGUGUAUGAACAUUAGCUAUAGGAUGUUCAACUUUUAUACCAAUUGACAUACAAUAAUCAUUAAAAGCUUAGGACGUAAACUCACUAGCAUUAUCAAGAUGAAUAGUUUUGAUUGCAUAAUCUGGAAAUUGUGCUCUUAAUCAAAUUAUUUGAGCAAGUAGUCUCACAAAUGUCAGGUUGCCAGUCGAUAAUAAGCACACAUGUUUAUUGUUUUGCAUAAUCUUUAAUUUUUGAUGAUGAUUUCAUUUCAACUAUUGGCCUGAAGAGUUUCUCUUAUGUUGUUUAUUGUGUUGGUAAGUCUGUUGGUGAGGAUAGAUUAAAUCGAAGUAUACAAAAUUUGAAUAAAGAAUUUUUAUGUAAAAAACCCAAUUUGUUUGAUUGUGAUGGUUAUGUGAAUUCUUUACAUCAUUGUGUGAAAUCCUCAAGUACGUGCAUGCUUGUUCGGAUGAAUUUUAAGAGGUUUGAUUGUUUGAAUGUGUGUACGCUAAAAUCCUCUUUGUUUAGCAUGUGUAAUUUAUUGGUGGAAAAGAAACUUUUGCUGCAUUUUGGAAUGAGUGAUCAAAACCAUGUGUUUCAAUCCGGAGCAUGUUUCCCUAUGUUGAUAAGUGAAUGUGAGCAUCAUAAUUUUAUUUUGAAUAAAUGUGUUGCACCUUUCCAUUUGCUCCAAGUUUUAUCAUUAUUUUUUAAAACAAAACAUGUGAAUUUUGAUGUCUUACGAAGUCAAAAUCAAAUCUUUGAUUCCGAAGGUUGUUCUAUAUUAUGGUUUAAAGGAUUUGAGCGUGUUUUGCAUGGUUAUGACUUUCCAUUGCUUCGUGUUCCUACCAUGUUGCCGGCAAUGAAAUGUUUAACACAAAUUGAAAUGGUAAGAGAGAACCUUGUUUUUGAUCCCGGUGAUUUUAGUUCUAUAUUAUUGUUCAAGGGACUUGAACCAUGGAAUUUUGUUUUCCAAGAUUAUAUCUUUCGAAUACUUUGUGAUUCUGGUUUGUUGUCAUCGAUGGACUUCUUGAAUCAUUAUGGCAAGGUAAGACCAAUUUCUAUUUUUGAUCCCGGCAUUGGUUUAUGCAUCUCAAUUUUGAAUAAGAUUCUGAAAAUUUAUUUUGUGUUUAUAAUUCAAAGUGUCACUAAUUUAUUUCAUUUUCGUGUUGGUGACAAUUUGAAAUGGUAUCCUUCCAAAGAGGGAAGGUAUCCAAACAGCCUUCUUUCUUCUCGAACCAUUUGUGAUUCUCACAUUUUUGGAAGCGACUUUGUUAGGUUUAUGAAUAAAGAGGGUCGUGAUCUAGAAAAGUUUUUCGCGAGCAAAUGGUCCAGUUUGAGGACAAAUCAUUUUCAAGAGGGAGGGAAUGAUGCGAUCCCGGCCGCAUCAUGUUUUGAUACACCUUGACGACAUCGAAAUUGGCCCAAUCACAAGAGGCCCAAGUGUAAAAUGAAGUUUUGUAAUUUUAGUUUGUUAAUUUGGUUGCUGGAAAAUAAGGACUUUGAUUCAUUUAUUUUAGUUACUUUAGUUAUUUUAGUUUGUGUCUUUAAUUAUGUCAUAAUUUGAGCAUCAUUAGUAUGAGUCUUUAAUUAUGUCAUAGUUUGAACAUCAUUAAUAUGUGUUCUGCAUUUAAUAAAGUCAUGCAUUAUGUAACUCUCAUGUUAGUUAAGUUUGCAUCAGAAAUUAUGACAUGCAUUAUGUAACUCCUAUGUUAGUUAAAGUUUGCAUCAUUAAAUGUUAGUUAAAGUUUGCAUCAUUAAAUUAAGUCAUGCAAUAAGUAACUCAUUUGUUCAUUUAGUUUACAUCUUAAACCAUGCAUUUAAGCAUCUUAGUUGUUAAAUAUGUUUAAGUUUGUUUAUAUAAGUAUGCUAUUUAAUUUGGCUGUUACUUUUUAUUGCAUAAAUUAAAGUGUGUUUAUUUUCAUUUUGAAUAAGGUGAUUUGAGUUGCAUGUUCAUUAAUAAAUUUGUGUAUGAGUGUUUAUAGUGUGCUGAUUCUUAUGUGUUUCUUUAAUGCUUAAUUAUCUACCUUGUAGGUGACUAUUCAUAUGGCUAAUUGACUUUUCAAGUUUGGACGUUUUUCAAGCCUUCAAAGAUCAUCAUGGUGGCUGUUCAAAUGGUCCAAGAGUGUCUCUUCAAACCUGUUCAGUUUUAAAGCAUUCAAAGCUAAUUAAGGAGCCAAUUAAAGAGAUGAAUGCAGAAGUCUUUGGAUAUUCAGUUUAAGGGAGAUGAAGGGACACCAAACAACACAUUAAGGGUUCAUUAAGUCAUCAAUAAAGUGAAGAGACAUGCCUUUUCAUCUACUUCAGAAUCAAGUGAAGAGACAUAACUAUUGGCUUCCCUACAUGAAUUUAAAACGAAAUUAAUGCCUGUAAUAACCUUAGUUAAUUGCUGAAGAUAAAAGGUCUCACAUAGGCAUUCGAAUAGUCAUAAUAAUGCCUAUAAAUAAUUUGUAAGAAAACACUGUUUUGGUUAGACAACUUUUGCUCAAUUUAUGAAUUAUUUGAUACUUGUGAGAAUUCAAAUCUCCUUGUUUCUCUCUAUGACUGAUAUGACUUAUCAAGCUAAGUCUUGUGGCGUCAUUUCCAUCAUUGUUUAUCGAACUUAUCACUUCUAAAUGUGGCAUUUAACAUACCUCUGGUUUCUAUCUAGCUAGAUAGUGGGUCAAGGUUUCUUUGCUAUAUUCCCAACCAUUUUCACCUAAGAGUUGUUUAAGACUCGGGUCAACAAUUUCCUAUAUUGUUGGUUCUAUCUUAGCCCUUAGCCAAUCCUUAUUCAUCUUUCAUCUAAACCAUUUUUGUUACCUUUUUUUGAACCAAUUUCUCAACCUCUUCCAAUUUAUUUUGAAAACAAUCCAAGCCUUACUUAAUUUCACGAUCAGGUAAUCUAAACGACUUGAAUCAACACCAAACCAAGUUCGUAUCAACCCAAGUCCUUCAUGUUAAACUAUUGUGCUAACACAGUUUAAUCGAUGACAAUUCUCUUACAUCAUUUCCAAUAAGUAGAAUAUCAUCGACAUACAAAACAAGAAAUACCACUUUUUUGUCCUUUAUACGCUUAUAAACACAAGAUUCAUCAGUGUUUUGCUCAAAUCCAAAAGUCUUAAUCAUUUGAUCAAAUCUUUUAUUCCAAGAGCAGGACGCCAGUUUGCAAACUUUUUACUCCUUUCCUCUGACAACAUAACCAAUGAGUUGAGCCAUAUAAAUAGUAUCAUCAAGAUAGUCAUUUAACAAUGUUGUCUUGACAUCCAUUUGCCAAAUCUCGUAAUUGAGAGCAACAAUAAUGGAUAAGAGUAUGCAGAUAGACUUGAGCAUGGCUACUAGAGAAAGGGUCUCAUCGUAAUCGAUGUAUUCUUUUUAUGAGUAGCAUUUCCCUACAAGUCUAGCUUUGCCUGUUUCCACUUUCCCUUUCGUAUUUCUCUUCUUCUUGAAGGUCCACUUACACCCUUUGGGCUUAAUCACAAUCAGUAAGUCUACAAGUUUCUACAUCGUAUUGGAUUUCAUAGAAUCCAUCUCGACAUCCAUGGCUUGUUUCUAGAUCUUCGAAUCAAUGUCCUGUAUAGCCUCAUCGUAAGUGAGUGGAUCGUCAUCCUCAUGAUUGGCUUCUAUAUUAUAAAUACUACAUCAUAGAUGAAUUAGUCCAGUUUGUUAGAAACUCUCCCACUACAACGGAUUCACCUAUGUUUUUGAUUAUUUGCAGGUUUUUGUACAACUUUAUCGAGAAUUGAACUUGGUAAUUGUUCUACCACUCCUAAAAAUUCCUUGAGUACCACUUUACUUCGAGGCUUAAAGUUAUCCAUGUAACUUUCCUCAAGGAAAGUAGCAUGAGUAAAAACUUUAAUCGCAUUAUCUUUCAGAUUAUAGAAUAAUCCUCUCUUUGUUCCUUUUGGAUAUCUUACAAACAUGUACAAUUUUGCCUGUGCAUUCAACUUCUUUGAAUCCUUAUCCAAAAUGUGUGCUAGAUUACCCCAUAUUUUAAAGUGAUUUAGAGCAGGUUUCUUUCCAUGCCAUAGUUCAUAAGGUGUCCUACAAGAAGACUUGGUUGGCACAUCAUUCAGAAUAUUGCAAGCUGUUUGUAUCGCAUAUUCCUAGAAGGAAGUAGAAAGUUGAAAAUAGCUUAACAUUGAACAAACCAUGUCAAGCAAGGUUCUAUUCCUUCUCUCAGCUGCACCAUUCUGUUGUGGACUGCCUGACACAGUAAUUGAGAUAGAAUCCCAUUCUCUAUGAAGUAUCCUAAGAACUCAUCGGACAAAUAUUCCCCACCUCAGUUACACCGAAGAUUCUUUAUAGAUAAACCUAAUUGUUUUUCCACUUCUGCACAACUCUCAAACUUUAUUAAAGGUUUCACUUUUGCGGUGCAUUAGAUAAACAUAUCUAUAUUGAUAAUAGUCAUCGAUAAAAGUCACUUAAUGAUCAUAACUUCCUUGAGCACUGAUGCUCAUAGGACCACAUAAAUCAGUGUGCACAAGUUCUAAAGGUUGGUUGCCCCUUAUACCUUUCACAUUAAAAGACCUCUUAGUCAUUUUACCUUCCAAGAAUGAUUCAUAUUGUGGAAGACUAACUUCUUUAAGCAUACUUAAGGGACCAUCUUUCACGAGUCUAGUGAUUCUUUCUUGGUUAAUAUGACAAAGUCUUAAAUGCCAUAGGUACCCCUCAUCAGAGUGAGAAGUUUGAAGCAUCGAGUAGUUAUUUGGUUUGAUAAAGUAGAGAUUGUUUUCCAUCCAUCCGUUACAAAUUAAAGAAUGAUUUCUGUUAAUAGCAAUCUAUUUACUGAAUGUCACGGUAUAACAGUCAUAAAAUAAACAUUUUACAUAAAUUAAAUUCCUCUUAAAAUAAGGUGUAUAAAACACGUUCUUUAAAACAAUCUUCCUAAAAGUAUCAAAGUGUAAAAUAAUUUUCCCCACUACUUCGGCUGAAACGUAGCUCCCAUAUAUUGUCCGCAAUGAAAGGCUCUUAUCACGCAUCAUUUCGUUGGACCCCUGUAAAGAAACACACACAUGGUUAGUGGCUCUAGAAUCAAUAACCCAGUUAUCAAUUGAUUCUUUCACUAAGCAAGCUUCAACCAUAAAGAGUUUCAUACUUUUUCCCUUUUCGACUAAGUAAUCCAAAUACUCUUUAUAGUUUGAUUUGAAAUGUUAUUUUCUAUUGCAGAAGAAAUAUUCGAUCUUUUUAGGAUCUUUUGACUUCUUAGUCUUGUUCCUAUCCACACGAGGUGGAACUGAAGACUUGAUAGAUUUCUUCUUUUCCUUACCUUUUUGUUUCCUCUUAGAGGACGAGGGGUCGAUAGUUAAGUUUGCCUUAAGUCUCUCCUAAGCCGGCUUACCACCAUUCAGCAUUAACUUAUAGGAUUGUAAUUCCUUUAUGAGUUGAGUCAAGGUAAGCGCCUUGUUCCCUAAGUUGUAAGCAGCCCUAAAGCCAGCAAACUUUAUGGUUAAUGAUUUGAAUACUAUUUCAAUCUGAGUGUUCACGUCUAGUUCAGCCUCAUUGUCCGCCACUUCUGCAAAGAAUCCCAUAAGCUUAAACAUAUGUUCUUUGACCAGAGUGCUGGUUUUCUAUUGAGAAUUUGUAAUAGCGGAUUGUCGAGCCAAUGUUACUUGGCCUUUGAGCAAAUCCUUCAAAUUUGUCAUGAUAUCUUUGGUGGUACAGAAAUUCUUGUGUUGCUUUUGCAACACACUACUCAAGCUUGCUAACAUAUAACUUUGAGCAAUCGAAUCAAAAUCUCUCUAGCGAUUUCUCGCUUUGGGCUGAGCUUUAGGAGGACACGUUUCAUCAAGAAUGAAUUUUUGUUUCUCACAAUUGAGAACUAUUAACAAGUUCCAUUUCCAUUCUCGAAAGUUAUCCCCAUUUAAUUUAUUCUCGAUAAGAAUGCUAAUAACAGGAGUAGGAGACAUAUUUGAAUUGAAAAAAAAUAAAUAUUUCACUAAUUACUAUCUUUGUAUUAAGAAAAUAUUUUUCAUUUCAGCAACAUAUCAAGAAUGUAGUAUGAUGCAUGCGUCUUGCAUUAAAACCUUAAAAAAAAUUAUUCUUACGACUAUUCUCACACCCAUCAACCAUGUCAUCUUGGGGUCCCAUGAUUAACUAGUAAGAACAUGGAUUACAUCCAACCAGUUCAUGAAUCUUAAUUCUCAAGACUCCACACAAACUAACGACCAUUUAACAUUUGGCCAUCAUCUCUAGCUUAAAUAUUGUUUCUUGGGAAACUAUUUAAUAAGAGAUGAUCUUGAGUGUGUAACCAUUGACUCAACACCUUUCAUGAACAUGUUCUUAUUUGUGAGUCCUCUUGGGACAAUAUCUCUGAAAGUCAUGCAUGACUAGUUGUCCUUAAAAGGAAAUCUCAUCUAGUGAACCCACACGACAAAGUUUACCUUGGGGUGAGGCCAGGGUAGGAACCAACUCGAAACUUUAUCAUGCUAUCACUUAGGGACUAUCAAUGGAGGUUGUAGGUCUUGUUCAAAGACCUUCUCCCACUCAAUAUUUAAAAACAUGCAAGGUUUUUUAUCCCAAAUUUCAAGAAUGACCAUACAAUAUUCCUAGUGGCAUUCUUACCAAAUCUAAAUGACAUGCUUCCAAUAUAUGCAUGGCGUGCUAUAGAAAUUUUAUAAUAUCCAUUCAUAAAAAUGAAUAAAUCAAUCAUAAAAACAAAAAAUUUUGAUUCUCCGCAGUUUUUCUUUUAAAGGAAAAACCGAAUAAGUGAAUGCAAACCGUACACCAGGUAGGGUCCCAGGAAAGGGAGGUGAGUCAAAUUCGACCGCUUAAAAACCAAGUCUUUCCUAGCCAGAGUCAAUCCUAGACAUGCACCUUCUCAUUACCACACUUCUCACAGUUAUCGAAUAACCUAAAAAAGUGAAUAGAACAAUACAACACAUGUAUUUUCUCAUUACCACACUUUUUAUUUUUAAUCGAUCAACUGUGGAUCAUCUCAUAUAUAUAUCACAAUUAUAUCAUUACAUAAUAUAAAUAUUAUAAACAAUUAUAAAACAUAUAUAUAAUGUGAUAGGUAAUUAAAAUAAAAUUGCCAAUCAAGAUUUCCAUGGUUCUAUUUUUAGAGAAUAAAUGGAAAAAUAAAAUUACAUAAUUUUUCACCACAAAGCAUUCCUUAGGUCUUCAACUGCCAUCACAUCUUUUCCUCGUCAUGGACUCCUUUUGAAAAAAUUACAUUUAAAUUUUCUAUGUAUUUCUGGCUCACAAAAAUUCUAAGAAUUUUAAAAAAAUAGCCUUGCAUGGAGAUGAUAGUCCACGAUCUAUUUCCAAAGAACCACAAGCUCGGUAAAAAACAAUUGUAUAACAAAUAUAUAAUAUCACAUUCAUUCUCAUCUAUAACUCAAAACAUGCAUAAGAUUUAAAGAAUGUCACUUUCUAUGUAAUCAAACCAUUCAAGAAGAAGAGAAAUUUAUUUUGAUUAUAUGUUUAUACUUGUAGACAGAACACAACCUGGCUCAGAAAUCAAUUGUUGGGAAAAAAAACAAGUUUGAAAAUGCAGCGAAAAAUAAAUUUAGGGAAAAACUAGAUUUUUAAAUUUUUUUCCAAAACAAGAUCUUGGUUGUGAUAUUGAAAAUAAUAAACAUUUAAUCAAAAUUGUACCUUUUCAAUUCCUCUAGGAUGAGCGCUUCGACCAAUAGUCUUCUCCGCUAUCCUCAAACUCACAUCUGCCGAGUGUGAGCUCGCUUUGAAUCAGAAAUUUUUCAGAAAAAUUACCAGUGGGAUAAUUUUGAAAUUUCUCUAAACUUUUAGUUCAAGUUGUAAAUCAGGAAAAUAUCUUUAGAAAUUUUCUGGAAUAAUCUCUUUAGAGAAUUUUCUCUCUACAACUUUCUCUUGAAUUCAAGUGUGUAAAUAAUGACCCGAGACUCUUUUUAUAUAGGGAGAUUUUAGAGAGUUCAACUAUAAUUAAAUUUAAUCACUUUAAUGUUAAAUUAAUAUAAUAUUUAUCAAGAUAAAUAUAAGAUUAAAUCUUAUUAAAAUAAUAGAAUGCAUUAAAUUAAAUUUAAUAUUAAAAUAUUAUUAUUUUUUGAAUAAUUAAUCUGAAAUCAAAUUCUCUGUUAAAGUCUCAAUAGGAGUGUAAUCUUUCCACUACUCAACCAUCAAUGACAAAUCGUUGCUGGCCACCGAGACACCAUUGUCGGAACUGUCGUCACCACCAUGUCCAAUGAUGUAGGUGCGACACCCCGAGCCAGUUCAGUCUGAGUCAAUGGCAACCUAACUGGUCCGGUCUAGCCACCAGUUGGACCGUUGACCCGAUUUCACAUAUGGAGCCUGGUUCAACCAGUUUUUGGGUCUUGGUCUUGAUUUUGGGCUCCCGAGCCCAAUUUAUGAUCUCAAGUCCAUUUUUUAAGUUCAAUUAUCCAUUAGGCCAAUUGUCUAACUUGAAAAUUAACUUUUAAAAAUAUAAUAUUAAUUUUAAUUGAUUUGAUUAAUUUAAUUUUACUUGAUCAAAAUUAAUUUUUCCAAAAAUCACUUAGGUUUUCCAAAUUAAUUUUUCAAGAAAAUUUUUUAAUCAAAUUCUCUAGUUGAACAAUUCUUACGACCACCUAAUUUAAUUCCACAUCGAAUAAAUUGACUCAAUUAAAUUAUUCCCAAUGUCGUAGAAUUUUUUUCUUAUACAAAUGAAGUCCGAUCGAGCUUUUGUUGAGCUAGCGGAAGCACCAAUCGGACAUAUACAAUUAGGCUCUAGUGAUUGCAAUUAUGUCCAGAAGCAUUGUUCUGAUAAUUCACAAUUACUUAAUCCUGGAGUCAGUCUACAAGAAGUACCAUGAUUGAAAACUCCUUAUUGUAUACUUUUUAUGAAAACAAUUCAUCCAAUUGUUUGUCUAAUAACCUCGUCAUGUGUGUGUUACCCUUAUAUGAUAUCUUUGAUUCAUUUAAGUUAAAUCCGUUCACUCAAUACAAUCCAAUUUUAUCUCAUUGUCACCAUUAUGUCUUCUUAAUGAUUCAUAUGAUCACUGUCAACAAAUGACUGCGAUAAAUUACUCGUUCGAGAACUAGCGACCCAUGGUCACGUUCCAUAUUUAUCAAUCCACACAAUGCCAAUGAGAGGAUAUUAUUAACUCUUCAAUUAAGCUAUGAAUUCCACUAUUGCUAGUAAAGCCAUGCCAUACACAAGUCAUGUACCCAAUAUACCGGCUAUAGGCUCGAUCAUCUUUAGAGCAUAAGCUUCCAUUUAUAUCAAAGCACAUGAGUUGCAUAUACAUGGUUAGUGACUAACUCAGGAUUUAGGUAAAUAAUACCAUGAACGUCACAAGUGAAUUAAUUUACAAAUGGAUUCAAAAUUAAUUUAGCUUGAGUCCAGUCCAUUGUAUCAUUCUUCCAAUGAAUACAUCUAUGUCUUUACUCAUGGAGUCAACUGCUCUGAUAGCCAAGACUAGACAUCUCCUCAAUUGGAAUUGUAGACGACAUAAUAAUCCUUCUCAGUAUUUGAAUUAAAUACCCACUUUGAUUCUUUUACGGGAUUACGAACUCAUUUAGAUUAUCUACUAAAGUAAGUUGUCUUUCUCUCAAAGUAAACAUUCUUUACAAUGCCACUUAUCUUCUGUUUAAACUUUAGACAAUCAACGAGCUAAUAUUUGCUUGUCACAAUUUCGCUAUGCGUGCAAAAUAUAAAAGACAGAAAAUACAAAAAACAUAAUAGUGAAAUGUGAAAUUAACUUUAUUUAUUUAUUUAUCGUUCAAAUAAAUAGAAAAAAGUUACAUGUUUACUAUAAUAUGGGCACAUUUCUCAACACUUGAAUCACAUAGGCGUGUGCUUGGUGGUGUGGUAAACCGUGUAACUCAUUGUUUUGAGCCACACAGCUAUGUGUGACACUAAGGUGGGCUGCACAGGUGUAUGCUAGGUCGUGUGGACCACACGGGCAUGUGCUUGGCUGUGUGGACCACACGGGCCAAUUAUCCAAGCCAUGCGAGUCUACAUGAGUGUGUGGGCCAAAAUCCAGAAUUUUUGCUAAGACCGUGAACGUCGUUCGGGUCGAACGUAGGCCUUUCGUAGUGUCUGUAUAUCAGUAUUAAGUUAUAAAAUUCGGCAUUUGUUGAUAUGUUAGUGUAUAACUCGUUAAUUGUACAUAUGGCUGAUUUGAUAUAAGCUAAGUAAGUAUGAUUUGUUAACUUAUAAUAUACCUCUUUUUGGAUGUGUUUAAGGUAUGUGAUUUAACUAGGGAUGGUUUGUGCUCUGUUAAGUUUGAUGGUUCAUUUUUGUGUUCUCUUGUUGGUUGCAAACACGUGAUAUCUGAAUAAGUUGUUGUGUUGAUACUGAUUCUGAUAUGUAACCAUGCUUGUGACUUCAUGGAAAAUUUAUUGUGAUUCAUUAAGAUUUGAACAAUCAAUCUUGCAAAGCGUGGAAUCCCAUGCCUUCUGUUUCUAUUAUUGUCCGAUAGCAUAUCCUACAUGCUUAUCAUUCUAAUUCUAAAUAUGCAUGCCAUGACACAUUGUGUAGGGUUCGGGAUGAUGUGAAUAGAGGAAAUUUCUCGCAGUUUAAUGAUCUGCAUUAUCUUGUGGUUUAUCCACAAUACUAUCUGGCAACUUGUCUGUAAUUUUGGUGGCACUGUCCACAAUUAUAUGUUGCUGUGAUUUGGUUGGAUGAGUUCUGGGGAACUCUAUUUGGUGUGUAGCGGAGUUGGGUUAUAUCAAAUUUUCCAAAAACGCCACACUAGCAUAAUCAUACAUAUUUUGUUCUGUUAUACGAUGAUUAUGAAAAUCUUUUUAAGACUCUGAUUUGUUCCGCUUUGGUUAUAUGAUUGAUACGAAAUUCUCUAUGUUCUCUGACUUGUAUAUUGUGUUUUGUUUAAUCUUCGUUUGUGUUUAGUUAUUCGCUAAGCUUCAUAGCUCACCCCUUUGUUUUAUCUUUGCCUAUUUAGGUAAACUUCUAACUUAGGACCAGACGACGUGUGGAGGCUCGUAUUGUUUUUUCACUUAAUGUAAAUAUGAUGAAUUUCGUAAUUAUUUGUUUUGAUCUUUAGGGUUUGGAAUCUAUUUUUGAAUUCAUUAUGAGAUUUUGCUUAGUUCGUCAAUAAUUGAUAUUCUCUAACGCGAGAUUGCAAAAUCAUUUAAGUUGAAAAAAUGAACUUCGAUUUUCAAAACUAAAACUUCAGAAAAGUUUUCUGCUGCAAAAUAAGUAAUUUCUUAAGUGUUUUCUAGAAGCAAACAAAUAGCUUUCUAAUGAAUGUUUUUGUAAGUCAUAUUUGUUAAAUAGUUAUUGAAAUCAGUUUUCCAAACGAGUUGAUGUAGUUUUUCUAGAUUUGAUCAGAACUUCUAGGCCGGGUUUGAGGUGUUACAAUUACUUUAGUUUUAUACUAAUGUAAAGGGAUCCCUUUUUGGCAUAUAUAUAUUCGUGCACGCAAUUAUAAAAUAAAUUUUGAAAUUUAAAAGUAAAAUAUGAAACACUAAUUUUUAAAAUUUAAAAUUAUCUAACCCUACCUUUCUAUCAUUAAUUUAAAAAAAAAACUAAUGAGUUAGACAAUAAUUUAUGUCACUUCUCCAAAUUUAAACAACUUCACCUGAGCAAAUUUCCUUCUUUGUGUCAAAACUUUGCUAUAGAACAUAGGUAUAUGUUAAUUUUAGCUUUCAACAUUUACAUCUUUUGGUAUUUUGGUUAUUUUUAUUUUUAUUUAUUUAAAUUUAGCCCUCAACUUUUUAAGAAAAAAGUUGAAAAUUUUUUUAACGGCCAUACUGCCUAAAAUAUUAAUUUUUAAACAAGACCACCCGCAUGACAAACCACAUAUAUUGCAUGUUUUUUUUUAAAAAAAAAUUGUGAACAUUUAUUUUUGAAUUUUGAUUUUUUUUAUAAUUUUAAAUUAUUUGUUAAUGUGGCAUACAAGACAAAUAGUGUGUUUGUGAUUGUGAGAGUUCUCUAUGUACCUUAACAGUGUGUUUGUGUGUGAAUUUUUAAGAGUCGAAGAGAAAUAGAUUUUGAUCCUGAUUGAUGAGAAAUGGAUUUUGAUCCUGAUUGAUCGCAAAAUCUCAAAAAAAUUAUAUUGAUUUUAAAAUCUAGAAAAGUUUUUAUAUUGAUUUUGUUUGAUUUUAAUUUGAGUUGACUAUGGUUUUGACUAUAUGGUGUUACAUUAUAUGUUUGGAGGCAUCUUGAGUGAUACAAUUGAUGGACGAUACCUCUCUAAAGGUUAGGUGACUCCUCUCUAUAUAGUUGAUCUAAGUGGAUAAUCAGUGAUUCUGAAUCCUUCAUUUGGUUUAACUAUGCUUUAAAAAUAAGCUAGUAAGUAUUAAAACCUCUAUGUGCCAAUACUAAACUUCUAUUUGGUAUUGAUACUAAUCCCUUGUUCCUCUAUUUUUCCUUAGAUGUUUGCAUUUAUUGAUACCAUCGAUACUUGAGUGCAGGACAAUAUCAAUAUUUAUCAUCUAAGUACUAGUAUUUGUGGCUCAUGUAUUGAUACCCUUAAUUCAAAUAUCAAUACAUGUAAACAUUGAAGCAAAAAAAAAAAAGCCAAGAAAUCAUGGUAUCGAUACCUAUAAGCAAUCAAGUCUCGAUACAUACCCUAAAGGCAUUAGAACUUCAUAGUUUAGCUUUAAAGCUUAAUUAGACCAAAUAGAUAAACCCAAAGUUACUAAUUAACGACUUAGAUCUGCCAUAUAGGGACACUAAAAUCAUCCAACCUCUAGAAAGACAUCAACCAUCAUCUGUAUCACUAGAGACACCUCUAGGUAUCAAAUAUAACCUCAUUUAACGAGAUCACCACCAACUCAAAUUAGAGAAUACAACAUUGAAGAUUUAUAAAAAAUUUAAUUACUAGAUUAUCUUUUAGAAAUAUAUACAAGGAAAAUGAUUGUAUGAAACUGUGAUUUUAUAUCAUCCAUAUCCCUUUCCAAUCAGGAGAAAAAAUCUAAUUUGUUAUUCUCCUAUUAGGAAGAGAUAUGAAUGAUGUAGAAUCACACUUUCAUAUAAUCUAUUAUCUAUAUACAAAUGCAUAAAUUUAUGAUUAUAAGAUAUUAGAAAUAAUAUUUCCUUUUCCAAGAAAUAAAAUAUGGGUUUCAAUUUUUUUUGUAUUCUUCAAUUUGUUAAUUUAGUAUCCGUUUAGUUCCGUUUAAAAGUAAAAAAUUGCAGACCACUCGACUAAACUGUAUAAAUCAGAUUGGGCUUUAUAAAUUAAUUAAAUUGGAAUAAUUUUUUUUAUUUACUAUCAAAUUAACCAUUUGCACUUGUAUUGUUUUCACAAAAUCAAAAUUAGAUUAAAUAAAAUGUUACUAUCAAUCGAAAAUUUUGAAAUUAUUUUUAAUAAAAACUUAUAAUAAAUUAAAUCUAUUAAAUAAUUUGUCUAGUUUUGAUCUAUUUUUAUUUUAAAAUUAAGAAAUUGAACUUUAUUAACUUUAAUGGCUAUACCAAAACAAAAUUUUUAAGUAAAAAAUACAAAUAGCUUAUCUAAGAUUACCCAUGUGCUAAAUUAAACAAGAAUGGUUAUCAAAUCCAAGUGUCCAAAAUCCAAUUCCGAAUUUUUGAAAAUAAUCCAAUCUGAAAUCAGCCAAAAAAAUUUUAAAAAAAAUUACACUUGGCUUAAUGCUAGAUUAAUCCAAUCCAAAACCCGCCUAAUCCAGGAGGCUAUGAUAUUAGUUACUCUUGGUAAGGGUAAUUGGAUACUAUAACACCUUUUAUUGAAAUAUUUUAGUUGCAGCUGGAAGGAUCAUGAAAUUUAUAUGGUGUCAUUUUUUACAAAAUUUCACAUAAAUCUUGCUUUUCGGAAAUGAAUGAAUAUUAGAAGUUAAUAGGAAUGCAUGAACAUGAAACAGCUCCUCUCUUUUUGAAUUAACAAAGGUCUAAGCUCUGCAGGAGAAACUACAGAUAGAGAAAAACUGUUAAAUCAUACACAGCACAGUCUCCGUGAUAUUUCUCAAACCUAUACACUAUUUUCUUUUUCCCUCUUAUUGUAAAACAAGAACUAAAAAAGAAAAAGACAGGUUGCUUCCACCAUUCACUGUACAUGGCAAUGACCCAAGUAUACAUUUUCUCAAAACCCACAUCAUAUAUGCCACCUCUUCUCGCAAUUAAAAGAAAAUGAGGUCUUAAGUGAAGACUAUUAGAAUACCUUCUCAAACUCACUUCUUAGCUCCUGUUGCCAGCACCCAGGCUUUCAUAAAACAAGAUAUACCCGUGAUCUGUAUUACUUGAGAACUCCUGGGCAGAACCAAAAAAUGUCUGAACCGCCGACUCAUCGAUCAUCUCCACGUUUUCAUCAUCAAAAAAUAACCAGUGGUUAUGGCUUUUUACCAGGCUAACAUAGUGGCCAUGGUUGGGUCCACUUCCCACAUGAACAACUACAGCAAAUAAGGAAUACUCUAAAUCUGCAUCUUCCACGGUAUUGCUCAGCUUCAGCUCAAGUGGAAACACAACACGAUAGGAGAGCUUCUUGUAUCGCCCCAGCUGCUCAAUGUACUUGAACCGCUUCAAAUGGAUAACCAGGAUGUGAGGAGGCUUCUUUAUCUUCAUUCUCUUCUGUGCUUCUUGCAAACUGCAAGUAAGCAAGUAUCAUCCAAAAUUAUUCCUUUCUGCAUGUUUAUCCUUAAAAUUACUGUAUGAUAUGCAUCUUUGGAACCAUCUAAAUAUUAUACUUUAAGCUGUGCAUCAAGUUAGAACCUAUUCAUUCAUGAAGACAAAAUGGUUAAGGGCACCAUGCAAGUUCGAUGUUUGAAUCAUCAAGUAAAAGGGAUAAUCAUUGAGGUACUCAUGGUUUGCCUCUUUCUUUAAAUAUAUCUCCUUGAAGUCAAUAUCCAGAAUUGACAUCUUUUACUAACAAAACCCCAACUUUACUAGGCCUUGGCUGGCCAGCCUGAAAAUCUCAAAACAGGAUUACAGGAGUCAAAUUAUAUUUGUUAUCAAUGUAAUUGGUCUACAAGGUGACUCCAAAACCAAGUGAUAAGAAAACAAGUGGUAAUCAAUUAGAAACUAAAACACCUCAAGUCGUGCAAAGAUUACCUAUAAUGGAAAAUUACCUGCAACACUUGUCACAGAAAAAUUUGUCCUCAGCAUUCAAUGUUUCAGUAGAACUAAAAUUUUUCAAACAGCUGGUUAUUGAGCUGUUCUGUUCAAUGUCAAGGCUCAAGUCAAAGAAAGUUUCGUCUCUCGCUGUCACUGUCUCACAUCGCAAGCAUCUUGUCUCAUUGGUAAGUAUUCCCUGUCUCAGAAUUGCCCCAAGAGAUAAUGAGAUUCUUCUUAAAAUAACUUAAUCCAAACAGAAAGAAUCCAUACGUACAAAGAGGCACUCAAAGUCAAAGAGGAUAGAAAAUUUUAUCAUUAAUUAAUUUGACAAUGUAUGGCAUCCAUUAAAAAAUGUAUAGCAUUCCUUUAUAAGCAUUGUCAAAAAAUAAACCAUUAAAGGGGACAAGAUAGACGCAGUCACUGUUUCAUUUGUUGUUAACCAGUAUUAAUUGAUGAUGCAGCCUACAUACAAGGACACAGAUGAGGGUUUAGCUAUGAUGUCCUGAAGCAUUCCCAGAUAGUAUUAUUUGAAUUUACUUCACUUUUCUCUGUUUAUUAGUGCAGAUUAGAUUAAUUUUUCCAUAUAGAUGCUUUCUAGAACUAAUAAAUUCCUACAAUUUUGGUAAUUUUGCUCAGCUUUCAAGUUUCAGAGUAUUCUAUGAUUUGUUUAUGUACUGUAGCAAAGAAAAUAACAAGAUUUCAUCUUUACUUCAUGUCAAGCAUGGUAAAUGCAGUACAAGACUAGGUCUAUUGAUCAGAAUAUAAAAGGAUAAAUAGCAAACACACCUGAAAAUUCUUGUGUACCCAAGUAACCAAAGGCUCUUUUUUAACACCAUUAGCCUGAGGAUUCUUUGGCCCAUUUGCAGUCUUUUCAGAUGGUGAAGAAGUUUCUGCAUCAUUUUUUGCUGCUUGAGCCUCUUUCUCCAGUAUAUCAACAAGUUCAUUUAGCAAAAAGUUCAAGAACUCAUGAGCAUCCUACCAAAACAAAUUGAGACAAAUAAUAUCCUCUUAUGCAUUACAAUUAAAUAUAAUAAAGAAAUUCAAUGUUUUGGUUGACAUGCCAAGAAAAGGUCGUUGGAAUACGCCUUGGAGCAAAUCACAUUAAACAGACAUAUAUCAUCAAUGCUGCAUACUAAUCACUUAUAUGAUGAUUGAUAAAGGUUUUCCUUCAUCAUUAGUAAAAAAAAAAAAAAAAUAGUUAUUAUGUGCUGAUUGGACUCAAUGGAAAAUAAUUGCGUUGAAAAGGAACUAUAAAGAGUUAUAAUUAUAAGAUCCCUAUUUAGCAAAGUUCCUAAAACUGUUCCUAGUCAUUUUAUUAUCAAAACAGGGAAUCACAAUGCUAAAACAGUGGUACUGGGACAUGUUAAGUCUCCUUAGUUAUGAAGCAAGGAAUUGAACACAAAAGUAUGGGGAUGCUUGGGGAUAACUUGGAGGUUCUCGUUACAAGUUUAUUGAACAUGACCAGCUAUCAGAACUCCAUUUGUUAAUGUCAAUCAAACCAUUAUCAUGUGUCAUUUGGUAUAUUCAUGGUCCUUCCAGGAUAUAUAGUGGAAAGACAAAUUAGACCGACAGAUAGGACAGUUAAAGACUUGUUGAGACUAUCAUGACUCUCCAAUAUUUGGGUGGUCAAGAUAAGAUGCCGCUCCCGAUUUUCAAUACAAAAUAUUUGAUCUUAUAUUAUAAUCUAUAGUCCUUGCAAAAUAUUGAAAGCCUAACCAGUCACACAUUAAAUCAUAUUGCCGGAUUAAAAUUAGGAUUCAAAUAAGUACAGUUUUAUCGACCAAAACUUGAAUGCAAAAGGAUUUAAUUAAAUCCUUGACUAGGGUUUUUGGGCAAGGCAUGCGUACAUGCAGCAUACAAACUUUUAAUCAACCUCAACAAAGCUUUCGGUGUUAAUGGACUGUUAUGAACUCUUAAUUACUACAUUAAAGAGAAAAAAUACGAUUCCUAAUACAAUUGCUUAAUCACAUUAUACCUGAAGGAUUUGGCUCUCUCUUUUGUUUAUCAUGCUUUACUUUCUGUGGCAUUCAUGUUUAAAUUGUUUAUUGGUUAAACAUGAGGCUAAAUCCAGCAAAAGUUACUUUACUCUAACCGAAAUCUUAAAACAAGCAAAAAUGAUCAUCAAUUUAGGGAAAGAGAAGGUGCUUAAGUCAAUCAAAUAUAAAACACUCAGCUACCUGGUGCAUAUAGCUGCGAAAAAGCUCAUUUUGUUUCUUCAAUCUUUGUACAAAGCGCUUUGGAGCAAUGACACCUGUUUUCUUCUUCUGUGAACUUAUCUAAACAUAAAGAACAACCAACUGUUGGCUCCAGUAGUAAUCAACUAAAAACCACAUAUGCCACAAGUAGAAUGAGAGAGAGACGGGGACCAAAAGAUACUAGUCAAUUAAUAGCAUUUGCUAAAAAAACAAAAGAUCAUCUGAUAAGAUGGUCUAAGCAAUUUCCUAAAAGGAUAAUACUCUGCAAUUAUUGAAGAAUAAAAUCAAGCCUUUUAAAAAAGAGAUGAAACAAAAAAAGAAAGCAGUUAUGAGGAAGGAACUCUUACACAGGAACAUAAGGCAGACUGUUCUGACUGCAUAAAAUCUGAUACGAUUGACAGAUAAAAAAGACUUAUCUAGUAAUAAAAGGUUUUUAAAAAGGAAAAUCACAAACAUCAUUUCUUCUCAUAUGAAGCCAGGUCCUCAUGCAAAUGUGAUAAGGACUUGCAGUAAUAAGCCAUUUAAAAAAUAAUGAAGAUGACACCCUUGGCCUUCAUACUUCCUAAAUGAUUGUACACGGGAUUAUCAAGUCAAAUAAUAAAGAAGAAAAUUUUCAAAUGAAUCAAAUCAUGUAUCAUUCUUGUAAAUAGUGGUCAAGACUAGAACAGAAAAUGGUAAACAUAAAUAAAACACUAAUGUUAAUAUUUGGUCUGAACAUUUAAAAUAAAUGCUUUGCCGUUUUUCAGAAACUAGUGGUUUCCCAUCUAUAGGGGCGUACAACUCAAUAACACUAUGCUUCUAGUAGAGUUAAUACCUGUGUAAACAGAUCUGCCAAGCAUGUCAGCAGAUUAUCUUCAGCAUCAACACCAUUUUUAUUACUUGAAUAAUAUUCUAGCAGCUGUUCGCGAAAUGGUACACAAAAAUAAAGUGCCUGAAAAUUUUUCAGAAAAUGACAUAAGACGUUGGUCACAGACAAGAGGGCAUUUGUUACCCAGCAAUUUUAAAUAAAAAUAUCCAACAUUGAACGCAUUAACAUAAAUCUUGAUUAGAAAGCAAGGAAUAAACAGAAAUAUCAGAAAAGAACUGAGUCUCAUAGCAUAAACUUAAAAAAAAAAAAAAAAAAAACAUAGGAACUAAAGAGUCUGGCAAUGAACAUAGCUCUUUAACACUACAGUUGCAAUCAUUCAGAAAUGAUUAUUCAAACAAUUCAGAUCUUGCAUUAUCUAGGUCAACCUAUCUACAACAUCUGAAACUUCAAGAUCCAAUAGCUACCGUAGUAUCGUACCAUGCAUUAUCUACAAAUUCACAUAACUUUACGACAAUCACCCAACUUAAAUGAAAGGAGAAUGAAAGAAAUAUUAAAAUUAAGCUUGAAAAUUGAAAUCUAAAUUAUUUUGAUAGUACCGAUGAAUCUUAUAAUCAUUUUUUAAUCACCAACAACAUCCAGUUCCUGUAAUACUUUCCCUUUCUAACAUUAGUUGAUAUCUAUCACAGUCAAUAUCUACCUGGUAUAGACUCUAGACUCCAAACCAUCUCAGCAAGCAUAUCUAAAAUCUAGACAUUUUAAUUUCAAUUUAAAUCGUGACAACCGUACCACUUGAAAGCAAAGCAGCAAGCUAUUACCAGAAGGGGAAAAAAAGAAGCUAAAAAUGAAAAGAUAGAACUGAACCUAACCAAUUCGCUUCAGGAUUAACAUAUACUACGAGAAAUUUGCAUAAAUGAAAUUUAAAGCUUAAAGUCAAAAUCAAUCAAAUUCAAAAGAUAGGAAAUAACAUAUACUAUCAAAUUCAACAUAUUUUUUAGGGAAAAAAGGGGGGAAGAGGAAAAAAAAAAGAAAAAAAAGAACCUGCAAAACGCUGUUACAAUAGCAAGUGUUGCCAAAGUUUUCGAGACCAAAAUAUCGUUCGCCUUCCGGGAACUGGUCACCCAAAGCUUUCUCGAGCUUCGAACCCGCCGCGCCCAUCUAUUAGAUAUAGAAUUGAGUUCGUCUACAACUCUAACUUGGAUCUUCUUCCGACCGGUUCAACUCAGCGAUUCAAUACCCCAUCAACGACUGGCUCUAUCUUGCUCUCUUCGGUUUAUCCGAAUCCGACUUAGGGUUUGUUUGGAGGACAAUUAAAAAAAAAAAGGGUUUCCACCGUUUCCCUAUUUCCGUUAAGAGCAGUGAAAAGGAGCCAAAGAAAAUGAUUCUUGUUUCUGUUCUCGGUAGCAUCUACUUAAAACAUCUUUUUAGAUCAAUUAACGUAAAAAUAGAUAAUAAUAAAAAAUUAUUAUUCUAUCCUUAAUCAUAUAAGAAGGAUAUUGACUAAGAGGUAAAUAAAACUUUAAUUCCACUUUCAAAUUCGAAUUAACUUAAAUUUCAUAAUUCUAAUAAUAUAUUAAUAUAAAUAUCUUUUUAAUCCUCGUAAACUUUGAAAAUAAGUAAAUUGAUCUCACUUAAUAAAAAUUAUAAAAAAUUUUAAAAUUUUAAAAUUUUAAAAAAUUCUAAAAAAUAUAUAAAAAUGUUGAAAUUUAAAUUUUUUUUUCUAAAAUAAUAAAUUUACGAUCUAAGUAAUGAUUCAAAUUUAUCAUAUUCAAAUUUUUUUUAAAAAAAUUUCAAAUAUUUAUAAUUUUAAAUUUAUGUGCUCCAAUAUGAAACUAGUUAUAUUAUAACAAUAUUUUUAAGUUUAAUUUUUUAAAAUUUAACUUGAACAAUUUCGCUCGAUUCGACUCGGCUCUAAUUUUAUUUCACUUGACUCGAUUUGAAAAAAAAUUUAAAAUUGAGCCAAUAUGAUAAAAUAGGACUCAUGAAUUUGAUUAACUCGAAAGUUUUUCACUUAAUUUGACUCCACAGAACGCUCACCCCUAAUAACAAACAUAACUUUUAUCAUUUAACCAAUUCAUUCUAUUUCACCACUAAGAAGAAAAUUUUAUUUUCACAAUUCGAUAACAAAUUUAACAGGUUAUAAGAUACCAACACAAAAUACUUAUGAUGUUUUUAGUUUUUUCUUUUAAUCAUAGUUAUUGAUUUUAACCUUAAUUGUUAAUUUAAAAAUAAUCUCACAAAAUCUCACUAUAUUUCAACUUAAACCUCAACUAUUUUCAAAUUUGGGGGAGACCAUAUUCAAAGUAAAAGGAAAAUCGUAAAUAUAAAGGUGGUCACUCAAAAAUAGCAUUGUUUCUAUUUUGAUCAUUCUAAACUUUUUUUGUCAAUUUAGUCACUACUGCUAGAAAAUUUGACCAAAAUGAUCAUUCAGGCCCUAAACCCUUAACGGAUUGUUGACUAGACCUGCAAAAGAAAAAAGAAAAAUUAUUCUUUUAGUCCCUUUAAAAUUUAUAAAAUUUUUAAGUUAAUCCCUAUUAAAAAACUCAUAUUAAAACCCAAUAUUUACAUCCAAGUCCCUUUUUCUUCUUUGCAUUCUUUACCCUCCUUCAAGCUCUGAAAAUAAUCACCUUAAUUGUAACACUCCUCGGUCGACCCGAUCACCGAAUAUGAGCUACAAGAUGCUACAGUUGUUGCCGAAGCAACCACGGUUGAACAAACGUCAUACAAUCAUUUAUACUUGUAAUCCAAUGCCAACUAAUACAGGAUGCUACAGUUUUUUGUACUUCCGUAUACAUUUCCACAAAAUUGAUCAAUAAGUUAGUUUAUUUAUACAUCAAGAACUACUAAUGCAAAUUACAUAUACUUAAUUUACGAUUUAAUACAGUAAAGCAUGUAAUAUCUAAUUCAUCCUCAAUUUAUAAACACAUAUAAUUAAGUUCUCUUUCAUAUCACAUUCAAUCAUGCUUGUUUUGCAACAUUUUAAUUUAAUUCAUUCACUCUUUCUUUCACAAACAAUUCAUACAUAUAACAACCAGUUUCACAUAUAAUCUUUCUUUUCAUUUCGAAAUCAAUCACUUAUUUUUUUUUGCCUGGAGAACUAUAGGAAAUUUAUUUUGGAUACUCAGGAUAAGAUUGCUUGCACAAGCUGUAAAUCGAGACAUUAACCAUUACUCGAUGCUGCUUACACAAGCUAUCGAGAAUCCGCAAUAAAUGCUAGAUUCUAGCCAUCGGUAUGGUAUCCACCACCGGUACAUAGUACCUGAUAAAUAUAACACACGGGCACACGGUGCCUGGUAUAACAUGAACAUUGGUACAAAGUACCUGAUAAUAUAGUCACCGGUACAUAGUACCUGAUAAAAUAUAAUCACUAACACAUUGUGCUUCAUAAACCCUAAUGACAUGUCAUUUGUAUCCUAGCUAUUCACUAAGUUCACACGGGCCUCUAUAUUCAUAUUCAUUUCAUUCCAAACCUUUGAACAUUUUCAUAUACAUGUAAGUGAACCAUAUACAUUCUCAUAUUCAUUUACAUUUAUCAGCUUUAUCUCAUUUCACAAUUUAAUCAUUUCAAUAUCGAAGUCGUUAUUUUGCAACAACUUAAUUACAAUUAGUAUACAUACAACUCAACAUAAACAAUAAUUAAUUGAAAUAAACAUCGUACAUAUAUCAUAGAAUUAUAUAACAAUUUCACAAUCAUCCAAUCACACACAUCCAUUCAUUUUAUCAUAUAUUCAUUAUUUUUAUAUUUAAUCCAUUUGAUGCCAAAGCUUUAUAUAUAUAUAAUUUCUAACUAACAGUAAUAUAAAAUAACAUAAUCAUAUCAAAUUUUAAUAAAUUAAGUCCAUAUGAAUUUACUUGACCAAUACAGCCUCAAACAUGACUCCAAAGACUAUUUUGAAAUUUUUCUUUUUUUGCAUUUAUAUACCAGUUGGUUCAAAUCCUGAUCUAUAAUAUAAUUAAUUCAAUUUAUCAAUUUCAUACAUCUGAAAGCAACCUCUAUAAUAAUAUAAUAAUUCAAUUUCAUUUUUUAAUUUUCCCUAAAAAUUUUUAUUUUAUUCAAUUUAGUCCCUAAAACUAAAAUAGUUAUAUCUUUUAAGUUCAAGCUUCGAUUUUCAAUCUGAUUUCAAUUUCAUUCAUGUACAGCUCUCUAAAUUCAAUAAUUACAAAAAUUUCAUGUCAAUUUCAAAAUAUUUACAUUUUAGUCCCUAAACUCAAAAUUAACAAAUUCUACUUUUCCUAUUUUAUUUCUAAGCUUCAAAUUCUACCAUUUAAUAUAUAUAUAUAAACAAGAUUCAUCAAUAGAAACUUCUAAAACAUUUGAAAAUUGUAUGAAUUAGUCCCUGAGCUAGCUAGAUUGAGCUACAACGAUCUUAAAAGCAUGAAAUUUACGAAAAAUGAGCUUAAUUUUACAUACCAUGCACAUGGCCGAAAGAUUGAAGUUAAAACUUGAGCUUUUCCUUGUUUAUGUCGUGAAGAAGAAGAUGAUAAUAAAGAAAAAGAAAUAUGAAUAGCCAUAUAUUCUUUCUUUCCACUACAUAUUAGUUUUAUUUUUAUUUUAUUUUAUUUUAAUAUCAAUUUAACAUAUUUUUCUAAUUAAAAGUAACUUUAACCGUCCAAAACCAUUAAAAAAUUUUAAUUAUCCUAUAGGCCUUUUCAUAUUUAUUAUUUAAGCUUCUAGCUAAAAAAAUUUUAAUAGUGAUUAACUUUUGUGGUUUUUAUGAUUUACUCCUUGUACCUUAAUAUAACCUAUAUAACAACUCUGUAAUUUUAUGGAAAUGAGGUCUCGAUACCUCAUUUUCCAAAACCAUUUAACUUUAGAGUCAACCACUUGUACUUAGGUAACUGUUCAAUUAGCAAAAUUUAUCAAAUAAAAAUUCAAUUAAACACAUAGUAAAUUCGUAAAUAUUAUUAAAUAAUAUUUACUAACUCGAUCAUCGAAAUACAGAGUUCCAAAACUGCCAUGUUCAGUUCCACUGAAAAAAGGGUUGGUACACGACGCGACUCAUUGUCGACCAACGUUGCGACGAAGACCCUGUUUUUGGUAAAAAAAAAUGAACCAUUUGGUACCUAUUUCAAUGUUUUCAAACAAACUUACAUCAUAAUUACCUAAUGCCAAACUCAAUUAAUCCAGAAUAUGCAAAACCAUACCAAUUAAGUUAAAUACUCAGUUCAACUUCUUAACAAUAUGUUCACAAUAUUUAUACCAACUAAACUUAAGAAUUUCAAUGCAAUUCGAGUAUACCAACCUAAUUCAUUCAAAUGCCUAACCUUACCUAUACCAAAUCUAUCAAAACUUGCCGUUUCACUUGUAAUACAUACAUAAUUCAUUCACCAACAUUUUAUACCAUCAACCAUGAACCAAAAUAACCAUUUAUCAACAUAUACCUCAAGAAAAAUCAUUAUAUAUACCAUUUCAAUACUUACAUCAACUUAACCAUUCAUUUACCUCAUACCACAAUCUUCUACAUGCUAGGUUAAAAUAGAUACAUCUAUAUUACCUCUCUAAAAACAUUAAUCAUUUCCAAUUCAAGUAUUAACCAAAUCAUUAGACAUGAGCAUUAUUCAAAAUCAUCAUAUGCAUCACAAUCAUGACAAGUACCAACACUAUUAAGACUUUCAACACUAAAGUGUAUACCAAACACUUAUAUACAUCGAAAUAACCUCAAGACACCUUAUAAUUAUACAUGCCACAACCUAAGACUCAAAACGAUCGAAAAGCUAGCAAUUCGGUGAUAGGAUAGUGUGAGCUUCAAGAUGAUCCGACUUGACAUGUUCCACAAUUAUUUUAUCAGAGCUCAUUGAAUUGCGGGCUUUGGUGCAACAUGUAGAGUAGCUCCCACCACUCGCUGGAUAGCUUUCGCUAUAACGCAGAGUAAAUCUUCAUUUCCCCAACCCUCAGGUCAAGGUCUAGCAGUUCUAAACUGAUGACCACAGAUUGGAUCAAUGCUUGGUGCCUUAAUCCCAAUUCUAUUUUCACUUUUAGCUAAAAGGCUACUUUUAUAAACAUUGCCACUAGCAUCAUUUCUUAAUUCCUCUAACAUCUUUAGUUAUAAAAUAGAGAAAUUUUAUAAUCAACAUCUAAAUCCUAACUCAAACUCAACUUGAUUUUGGCAUGUACCUUUAGACUCAAUUUUGAGCUCGAUUUAGUUAGAGAAUCGACUAAGCCUAAAGCUUUAAUUCCACUAAAUAUAACACCUUGAUACCUAACCCGAUCAUCGAAUCCGAGUUACAAGGUAUCACAUUAAUGUGUUGGAUCUAAUGCCCUAAGUGUAGUAUUUUCAUCUAUGUACACUUGUAAUUUUUUUGAAUAGAUUAGUUAAUAAAAUAAUUCAUGGAUUACAUUAAUAUACUUUGUAUAUUGUCCUCAAGUGAGUUUUGCAUUGAGAGCAAAAUAGAAGAAAAUAUUAGCUCAUUGGUUGUCGAAUGUUUAACUAAUACUAAGAAGUAUUACGUAGUCAGAUGGAAAUAUGGAAAGACGACUAAUAUUAUUAGGCAAACUAUAACAGCCCGAUUUUGAGCCCAAUCGAAACAAUGGUUUCAGAAGCACUAACUCGAGGUCAGAGAAAUUAUUUUUAAUAUGAUUUUAUGUUAUAGCAUGUUUAUAUAAGUACAUGAAAAUUUUGGUGAAAUAAUUCUAGCGAUUGCAUGCUUAAUUGCGAAAAAAGACUAAAUCGCAUAAAGAGCAAAAGUUUUGUUUUUCUAGAAAAUGGUGUUAAAUAGCCAGAGAGUCAUAAUUAGGGGUCUUUAAAUGGAAAUUAGACUCAUUUCAAUAGGGGUGGUUAGCCAUAGGGACAAAGAUGAAUAAAAAAAUAAAAUCUGGUGGAGUUGGUAGCCUAUUUUGACUAGAAAAUGAGAUUAAAUAAAACAAAAGACUUCAUCUUUUUCAUCCCUUCUUUCACCACCAAAAAUUUCAGCCAUUUUAAGGGUUUUUAAGCUUCAAAAUUUCAGCCACUCUUUACCCUUACAAGUAAGUGAUUUUGAUGGCCUUUCUUAAUAGUUUUUGUACUUUUGGGACCCUUGUAGCAUAAUCUAGCUACUGAGUAGACUAUUUUGCAAAAUGGUUGAAAGUUUAGGGUUUUUCCAUGAGAUUUUUCAUGUUUUUUCUGAAUUUUUAAGGAAGAAAAUGAAUCAUGGUUGUUAAACAAACAACUCUUGUGAAGUAGUUUUCAUGAAAACCCUAACUAAGGACCAUUUUGCAUAAGUUAUAAAUUAUGGGGUAAAUGUGUGAAAUGAUAGGAAUUUUGGGCUGAUUCUAAUAUAAAAAGAAUUUGGCUAGGCUUGGUUAGUGAUAAAAAUUGAUAUACGAGUCUAGGGGUAAAAUCGUAAUUUUAUGAAAGUCUAAGGGCAAAAUGGUCAUUUUGCCAAAAUAUGAUUUAUGAAAUGCAUUAACUAACAUGAUGAUUAAAUUAGUGAAUUUUUAUCAUUUUAGAUCAACAAAUACAAAAUCCAGACCUAGACCGGGGAAAGGCAACUAGUAGACUAAAGCCAAUUAAUCGUCCACUUUUUGUAUACCGAGGUAAGUUGUAUAUAAGUAAGGUAACUUUAUCGUUAUUAUGUGAUGGAUGAUUUAUUUUUGCAUAAUAUGGUUGAAUAUGAUUAUGAAUAAUGCAUGAUGAAAUUAAUGCGGUAAAUUCCUGGUUGAACCUAGGAAUAGAUUGGAUAUCCAUGCCAUGAUAUUUGGGUGAUAUGUGUGCCAGUGUAAGACCUUGUCUGGGACAUGACAUCGGCCAUGAUAUGAGAGCCAGUUAAGACCAUGUUUGGAACAUGGCAUCGGUGAUGUUGUGAGAGCCGGUGUAAGACCAUGUCUGGGACAUGGCAUCGACAUUGAUAUAUGCGCUAGUGUAAGACCAUGUCUGGGACAUGGCAUCAGCCACAUUAUGAGAGCCAAUGUAAGGCCAUGUCUAGGACAUGACAUCGACAUUGAGACGAGAGCUAGUGUAAGACCAUGUCUAGGACAUGGUAUCAGCCAUGAUAUGAGAGCCAUUGUAAGACCAUGUUUGGAACAUGGUAUCGGCGAUGUUGUGAGAGCCAGUGUAAGACCAUGUCUAGGACAUGGCAUCAGCAUUGAUAUGUGCGCUAGUGUAAGACCAUGUCUGGGACAUGGCAUCAGACACAUUAUGAGAGCCAGUGUAAGACCAUGUUUGGGACAUGGCAUCAAUAUUGAGACGAGAGCUAGUGUAAGACCAUGUCUGGGACAUGGCAUCGGCCUCGACAUGUGAGCCAGUGUAAGACCAUGUUUGGAACAUGGCAUCAGCAAUUUACCCUAUUGUGUAAAGUUUGUCAGAUAUCCUUUAGUAUUCCAAAUGGUUUCACGAGUUAUUUUAAAAGCUUAUGACAAUGAUAUGGAAUGAUAUAAUUACAUUGUGAGUUGUACAGGUUCUUAUUCAAAACUCAUUGUAACAUCCCAAAAUAGGGCCUGGUCAGAAUAGUGAUUUCGGGACCACAAAUUCGACAUCAAAAAUAUUUAUUUUAUGACGAUUAUGAAGCCUAGAAUAUGAGUAUAUGCAUGUGUUAAAGUUUUAUGAAGAGAUUUUAAGUAUAAGGUGUCCAAUUGGAAAUUAGGGACUAAAUUGAAUAAAUUGCAAAACUUAGAUUCUAGAAGAAAUUUGUAUGAAAUUGCUAUAGAUUAUGAAUUAGAAGGUCUUGGAGAUCAAUUUUCCCAAAUUAUAAAUUUUUGGACAAAAAUGGGCUUGCAUGGAUGAAAUUUUAAAGAAAGGGCAUUAGGGCAUUUUGGUCAUUUGUCAUUUUAGUGAAAUAAAAAGGGAAAAAUGGAGCAAAAAUAUGCUCAUCUUCUUCCCAUAGCUUCCAGAAUUUGGAGGACACCAUAGCUAGGGUUUUUUCAAUUUUCAAGCUUAAUAAUAAGUGCUCCCAAGCCCCAUUUUUCACGUUCUUUGCAUUUUUGAAAUCCCAGUAGCUUGCUUUCUCCAUUUCUACCCAUAUUUCAUGCUAGGUUUCAUGUUCAAAAAUUUAACCAUGCAUGAGUUAUUAAUAUUUUGAUGGAUUAUGGAGGAAUAUGAAAGAUAAAUGUGUGUUAAACAUCUUUUCCAAGUUGGUUUUCAUGAGAAACCCUUAUAGGGACUAUUUUGCAAAAAAUGUAAAUGUGUGGUAGAAAUGAGGAAAAUAAUGAAAAACGUGGGUUGCCAUAAGAGAGAAAAAUUUUCGGUUAAGCUUGGGAAGAUAGAAAUUGCAUGUGUUUCAUUAUACGAGCCUAAAGACUAAAUAGUAAAAAUGUCAAAGGUUAGGGGCAAAACAGUCAUUUGGACCGGGGUAGAUAUUAAACUUGAAAUGUAUAAUGUGGGGUAUUAAUGAGCUAAUUUUGGUGUUAUAGACCCCAAGGAACAAAAUUCGGAAGCCGAUCGAGGUAAACGCAAGGUUUCGGAAUAACCGAAACAUAACUCUAAAACUGUUACCAAGUAAGUUCGGAUAACUUAAAGUAAACCCCUAAUAUGUAUAAUUGAAUGAUUUAUGAAUGCAUGAUGAUUGAAUUUAUUAUUAGCAUGAAAUAUCAUGGAAAUGUAUAUUUGAUGGUAUAUUGUGAAAAAUGUCUCGGAUAAGGUUGACAAAGGGAAUUCAAUGGAUAAACCCUCAUUGAUAUGUGUAAAGAGAUCCUGCAUGUGUUGCAGUAAGGAUUUAUCUCGGACGGGUAAUCCAUGAUCUCGAGUAUGGAAAGGAUCUAGCCCAGACGAGUGUUCCUUGAAUGAUCGAGCCUUCCAAAGAAUAUAUGUGCAUUGAGGAUUUAGCCCGGAUGGGUAAUCCUAUUAGGGUCUGAAUUUAGCCUGGACUGGUAAUUCAGAUCCGAGUUCAUUAAGGGUGUUUGUCGCUAUAAGGGAUUUAGCCUGGACUAGUAAUCUCGACAUCACCUUAUGAGUUCAUGAUAUGUGGGAUUUAGCCUGGACUGGUAAUCCUGACAUAUAAUGUGAGGUUCGCGGGAGUGCAUAUAUGGAAAGAUCAUUUGAAUGAAUUGGCGGAUAAAGGGUAUUCCAUCAAGAUUUCCUAGAAACUCAAAGAGAUUAAUGUAGGAUACAUGUAUGAAUAAAUGUUGAAUGAUGAGCUCAUCUAGUUAAAUUACAUGAUACAUGAUUAUGUGACUAACUCAUUGAUUGAGUGCAUGUGAUAGGAAAUCAUUUCAUGUUGGAUGAUUUCAUAAUUUAAGUAUGGAUGUAUGCUAAUUACUCGGUAAGUUUACUCUUCGGUUAUUCGAGCUUACUAAGCAUGAAAAUGCUUACCCCUCUCUUUUCCCUGUUUUACAAAGCUCGAGGACUCAUAAGGAUUGGAGGAAAAUUAGAGAGUCAACACACUAUCAACUAAACAAGCUUUGGUAUAAAGACUCUGUUUAUUUUGUUCAAUGGCAUGUAUAGUAUUUUUGAGUAUUUUAUUAUGUGUCAUUUGAUUUGCCCGGUAAAGGCAUGUAAAAUAUAUGUUUAUCUCUUUGUAUAUGGCCAUGAAAAUUAGCUUAAUUUAAGUAGGCUAUGACCUAUGAUUUUAUGCAUGGUUUUAAUUACAAAUGAUGGGUUGCUAUCAAUUGGUAAUGAAUCACAUGAAUGAGCCAAUUUCAGAUGGAUUAAUGUAAUAUGGGAACCCAUGACACUAAAUAGGGAAUAACCAUUUAUGUAUGAAACCAAUGAUAUGAUGUUUCCAUACAUCUAUUUUCAUUAAGAUUAUUUACAAGCGUAAAAUUAUGUUUUUCUUUAAAACUUGGUAACAACUAGGCAUUAGUAGUAGAAAGGGGUGACUAAAAGCUUGGAAAAUAGCCUAAUAAAGUCCACAUGGUUGGACACACGGGCGUGUGUCAAGGCCGUGUGUGACACACGAUUCCCUUCCGUGGGCGUGUGUUAUGGCCGUGUGUCCCUUGCACUUAAAAUUUUAGCUCAAAGUUGUACACGGGUAGGCCACACGGGUGUGCACCAUGACCGUGUUAAAAUGACAGUUUCAUCCACAGGCAGGCAGCAAAAGUGUGUUCCAUGGCCAUGUUGAUAAGUCAGUAUUGCCCACGGCUGAAGGGCAUGGGCGUGCCCCAAGAUACACGGGCGUGUGAGUCCACACGGCCCACCUAUAUGGGCGUGUGUCCCUUUGUGUUAAGGAAAAUUUUUUGAGGAGCCCAAGGUUAAUCGAACAUGGCCGUAUUCGUCCCGCAUUGCCUUCCGAUAUGUUAUAGAUCUCGAAGGCCUAUACAAGGGACAAGGUGUUCAUGAUUGAAAAGUUUUAAAUUCAAAUGAAAUUUUGUGACCCGAGUUAGUAUACUGAAAGUGUAAAGUUCCGGUAAUGCAUCGAGCCCUGUCCCAGUAUUGGAUACGGGUUAGGGGUGUUACACUCAUGAGAUAUGAGUUUAGUUAUGUUGCCUUAAUGGUAAGAAUGACAUGAGUAAGUUCUAACUAUGAAAAUGAUCUUGGGACGACAUUGAAAUCUUUGGUUUAUACUUGUGAUAUACAUAAGCGUGUAGUGAUAUUUACCCAUGUUCACUCAAGAAUGUUAUGUUGAUUUAUAAUAUGCAUGGUUGAUGUUGUUUCUUAUUUAUAUGUGACUUACUAAGCUUUAUGCUUACUCUUUCUCCUUUCCAUUUUCUUAUAGUACCACCAAGCUAGUAUCGGGGAUCAAGGGACAUCGAAGGAUCGAUCACACUAUCACCUGAAGCUUUGGUAUAGCUAGUUUAAUAUUUUGAUUUUGGCAUGUAUAGGGACUUGAAUCUUUUGUUUAGUGUCUUGUUAGUUUAGCCAAAAAAGUUGGCUUAUAUGAUGGAUGUGAUAUUCAUUUUGUAUAGGCCAUUAAUGUUGGCUAAUAUUGAUUAUUGUUAAAUGCAUUUGAUGCAAAUUUCUCAUGGUUGUGGUUGAUUUGAUUAUAUGUGUUAGGCUUGGAUUGGUUUUGGUUGAUAUUGUGUAGGUUGAUGUAAGUAAGGGUGGCAAAAAGGCUUGGUAAAUAGCCUUAUUUUUGUCCAUACGGGAAGACACACGAGUGUGUGUCUAGGCAAUGUGUGACACACGGUCUGCCCCACAGGCGUGUAGUCCAGCCGUAUGUCCCCUGCACCUCAAUUUUACAAGUCAGUAUGCAUGGUAGUAAACACAUGGCUAGAGACAUGGCCGUGUGUCUCAGCCAUAUAGAGGACACGGCCUAACACACGGGCGUGUGUCUUGGGCGUGUGCUCUUAAUUGGUUGAUGAUGUCAGAAACAGAAUAUCAAGGUUUUUGUACACGGACUGAGGCACGGGCGUGUCAUAACCGUGUGAGGGACAUGGGCCAUGGACAUGAGUGUGUGCCAGGCCGUGUGAAAACCCCUAUAGGUUCAAAUCAAAAAAUAAAUUCACACCGGCUAGGGACACGGACGUGUGAGCUACAUGGGCCUUCAGCACGAUCAUGUUAAGACUACACACGGGCGUGUGCCCUGUUUACCUUGAAAUUUUUCAAAGUUUUUUAAAGUACUCAGUUAAGUCCCAAAUCUUUUUCAAAGCGUGUUUUGGGCCUCGUGGGCUUGUAUUAGGGACUUUAUAUUCGGUUUUCAAAAAGUUUUAAUUUGGACAAAAAUUUAUGGCACAAAAAUGUUUGUAAGCAUGUGUUUAUGUACAGUAACACCUUAUAUCCUGUUCCGGCAUUAAACUCGGGUAAGGGGUGUUACAUUUAGUAUUAUUAGAGUUAUGAUUUAGUCAAUUCUCAGACUAACCUAGCAUGAGUACGAGUCUAGCUAUACAUGCCAUAAAUAUAUUGUGAUAGUGUGACGACUUCUGACAAAUUUAAAUUGUCUUUUCAUAUAGUAAAUGAAUCCUGACGGAGCUAUGGUGGAUGAUGUGGAAAGUGAUGCAUCGACUCCCGCUUAAGGUACCGAGCCAAUCGAAAGUAGGCCCGUGACAUUGAGUCAGGGCGGAGGGGCUAGUGAAGCCUACCUUCAUAUGAUGGAUCUUGGUACUCGGAGUUCGUUCGUGCAAAUCCGAACACUCUAUCUCCCUCACCUCCUUAGAUUCCUCAGCCUGCCCAUAUGGCUCCACAAGAAGUAAAAAUGUUAGAAGAGAAAAACCUUCGGUAGAUAGAAUUAGUAAGCAUGGGGUCGAGGAAUUUCGGGCUAAAAUUGAUGAUGACCAAAGGAGAGCAGAAUUCUGGUUGGCAAAUACCAUUACGGUAUUUGAUGAAUUUUCUUGCACCUUUGAGGAGUGCAUAAAGUGUGUUGUGUCACUCCUACGAGAUUCGGCCUACCAAUGGUGGAACACCCUUGUGUCGGUUGUACCAAAGGAAAGGAUUAUGUAACGCCCCAAUUUUCGGGAAUUCUGUGAAUGUUGGCAAAAUUUCAUGCUUUGAUUUUGUCAUUUGUGAGUGAAAUUAUGAAAUAGGACCUAUGUGAAAAUGUUUGAAAAUGCUAUAGGCUAAUUUGUAGUGGCCAAAUAAAUAGGAGUGCAAAAUAGGAGGAUUUGCAUGACAAACCUCCCAUUUUACAUGAAGUGGCCAGUCAUCAUGUUGUUGUAGACAAUAUGAGCACUUGAUAUCCAUAAUUCAUAGUACAAAUUGAUAAUGGGUUAGGUAAAUGUUCCAUGACAAUGGAUUAGGUAAAUAUUCCAUGAUAAUGGGUUAGGUAAAUGUUCCAUGAUAAUGGUUUAGGUAAAUGUUCCAUGAUGGGCAUUUCAUGUCUUUUGUAUUAAAGAAUUAAAUGGAUGAAAUAUGAAAUUUUAUUAAAAGAAAAAGGGGUGAAAAGAACAAAGUUUUGUCCAUCUUUGUUCAUCAUAGCCUAAAGUUAGAGAAGAGAAAGGAGAUGAGAAAGCUCUUGAGUGUUCGGUCACUUGGGGAAGAAAAUUGAAGGUAAGUUCAUGGUAGUUUGCUUCUAUCUUGAUGUUCAUGAGUUCUUCUUGAUUCUACCUUAACUCUUGAAGCAUAUUUUGGUUUUUAGUUGUGUUGUGAGCAUUUAGUCAUGAAUUAAAAUGAAGGAAAUGGUUGUUGUUUCAAGUUCUUUUGAUGAAAAAUGGAAGAUAGGUGAAGUUGAGCCAAACAAAUGAGCAUGCAUGUGCCUUAGAUGCUAAGGGGAAAAAAUCGGCUAACAUGUUGUGCUUUAAAAUGAUGAAAUGGAGAUUAUACUUAAGUAAAAUCAUAGAUAUGUGAUGAUUGAUUGGUGAUAUACAUGUUUAAAUAACAAGCAUGCAAGUUAGGUGUGAAAGAGUGAUUUCGUAAUAAAUCUGCUUGGGACAGCAGCAGUAACGUGACUUUGGAAAAUCACCAUAAAUUCUGGGAGAUGAAUUAGAAGCUGAAUAAAUUAUGUAAUUAAAGCUUAUUGAGUCUAGUUUCAAAUUAAAUAAACAAGAACAUAUUUUGAAUUCUGUACAAUGAGAAAUUUGAUUCGUAAUGAAGAGAGGUCAGAUUAGUCAAACAGUGAAACAUGGGAAACUUUGAGAAAAAUCUGGUAUUGAUUGGCUAAACCAAAAAUUCUGAAAAUUUUAUGGAUAGAAUAUAUACGAGUCUAUUUUCAGGGAAAAUUAACGGAACUUGAUUUGGAGUUUCGUAGCUCCAGUUAUAAAUGAUUUAGUGACUGUUGCUCAGGAAGACAGCUUGCUGUGAAAUUAUGAUUAUGUGGUAAACACUGACAAAAAUUUGUUAAUGAGUUGCUUAUUGAUUUCUUAUAAGCUUACUCUGAUCUAUAGGUGUGGUUGGCUGAAUAUUGUAAGGGUUUAAUACGUAGUUCGUAUUUGAAUAGUUAGAUUAACGUGUUAGUAAUCCAAUUGUAGGCGGUUCGUGUGUGGAUCUCGUCAGCAUAUCGUCGCAAACAGGUGUGUAACUGACACCCUCUCAUAGACUAGAUUGGCAAAAGCCGAAAAGCCGAAAUGCCGAAAAUUCGGUAUUUUGGGAAUUUACGAGUGUGCGAAUGCUCAUAAGAUAGUUGGGUUUGUAUAUUUGGUAAUCUAAAGUAAUAAACUGCAGUACGCGUGAUUUCGUACAUUUUGAUAAUUUGGGCUUAAUGGGCCAAAGAUCGGGUUCAUGGGCCAAUGGGCCCAAUUCGGUAAGUAUGCGCGGUAAGUGUUCUGAUAGUACGUAAAUAGUUAGGAUAUGCAUGAAAACCCUAAAAGCAGCUAAAUUACUAUAAUACCCUUAUGUAUGGAAAAUUACUGUUAUACCCCUAGGUGCAAAAUUACCGUUAUACCCCUAGGGUUAAUUUUGACUGAAAAGCAUGACGAUCUGAUUCUGUAUGAUGUAUUCCAUGAUUAUAUAUCUGUUGCAUGGGGACAUGGGUUAUAUUAUGGAGGAAGCGUCCUGGUGGCUAUGCCACAAUUAUCUGAUCUGGUGGCUUUGCCACUUAUAUUUGUUCUGGUGGCUAUGCCACGGUUAUUUGAUCUGGUGGCUCUGCCACAUAUAUCUGUUCUGGUGGCUCUGCCACAAUAUCUGUAUCUGGUGGCUCUACCACAAUAUCUGUAUCUGGUGACUUCGUCACAAUAUCUGGCAGCCUCACUGCGAUUUCUGUGGUGUGUAGCGGUUGGGUGGGUCGAGUAGUUUCCCCACAUGGUGUAAGGCUGGUACGGGGGUGUUAUGGAUGAAUCUGGGUUGGGUUUCUGCAUAAACAUGUAAUAUCUAUUCUGUUCUAUUAUGGGCCUAUGGGCUUUAUUCUGAAUUCUAUUCUGGGCUAAGGCCAACUUAUUCUAUUUCUAUGGUUUGAGCUGAUAUAGGCUAUGGUUGGGUUAAUUUACACACUGAGUUUCCCCGAACUCACCCCUUUUAUUUUCAUCCACACAGGUAAUCCCCAACCAUAGUGGGCUUGGAGCUGUGAGGGAAUUCGGAGUGGCCACCCGUUCUGAAAGUUUGAUUUUCUUCUGGUGAACUGGACAUCCUUUUAUUUACGUUUGAAGUUUUGGGUUUUUAAAUGUAAUAAGGCCGCUUAAUUAUUUUUGAUGGUUUUAAUAUGUAUUACUAAGAUAGGUAUUACUUAUUUUAACUGUUGAAAUUGGAUAGCUUUAGGGUGCGUUUUCAAAAAUAACAAUUGAUUUCAAAAUAACACGACAACAAGCAAAGCUUCCGCAAUGAAAGUAUUUUCCAAAAUUAAUCACUUUUCCUAAAAAUGACAUAAUCAAAUCGGUUUCCUAGAAAUAUCCAUGACGUUAAGGUGUGGCAAUGGCGG
Molecule: long non-coding RNA, 84218 nt
Filed under: Gossypium barbadense (sea-island cotton)
Lineage: Eukaryota; Viridiplantae; Streptophyta; Magnoliopsida; Malvales; Malvaceae
Description: long non-coding RNA (GBAR_LNC010345)
Source: RNAcentral